GAAAGACAAUUCAAUGGCCUAGUUGAUGUCUACAGGAAGACACUGCAAUCUGAUGGCAUUGCUGGCCUUUACCGAGGAUUCAAUAUUUCAUGUGUUGGAAUUAUAGUUUACCGUGGUCUUUACUUUGGAAUGUACGACUCCUUGAAGCCUGUGGUUCUUACAGGGAAAUUACAGGUAUGUGGUUUAACUUGAAUGUACGACUCCUUGAAGCCGGUGGUUCUUACAGGGAAAUUACCGUGUUCUUGGAUCUGAUUCUGACUCAUUGCGUUUUUUACGAUUUCAGGAUAGUUUCUUUGCUAGUUUUGCUCUAGGUUGGGUGAUCACCAAUGGUGCUGGACUUGCGUCAUACCCUAUUGACACCGUUCGCAGAAGGAUGAUGAUGACCUCUGGAGAGGCUGUCAAGUACAAGAGCUCCCUGGAUGCCUUCUCCCAGAUCCUGAAGAAGGAGGGUGCCAAGUCUCUGUUCAAGGGUGCAGGUGCCAACAUUCUCCGUGCCGUUGCCGGUGCCGGUGUGCUCGCCGGGUAUGACAAGCUGCAGCUGAUUGUUUUCGGCAAGAAGUACGGUUCAGGUGGUGCUUGAGAUUGUUUUUGGCAAGAAGUACGGUUCGGUGGUGUUCCAGUGGCGCAUCCACCUAAUAAUCUGAUGGUGACGAUAACUUAUCUGAGAUUUAUUUCUUAAGCCUUUCCAUGCCUUUUUUUUUUCCAAGUUCUGUCGAAAUAAUUUAGAUUCCUCCAACAAAUAUUUGGAGCAAUAUUUUCGAGAACAUUUUAAUUGGACCAUUGUUUGCUAUUUAAUGCCUUAACAGCAAUGUUACCGGUGCUGGCGGCGACGGAUUUUGUUUGAUGUUUCAGAUUGUUGUGUUUUGCAUUUGGCAGAAAUAGAUUUAUGGGUAGAGACAUAUCUUGGAUUCAUUUCAAAGAAUUCUGACACUUGCAGAAGCUAAUAGUAACUUUGUAUCUUAUCAUGCAUCACGAUCAAGGUUUUGUAGCCCGAACCCGAGCGAACCAAAGCGGACCGCUCACAAACAGACCGGUCUUUACGGGCAGGCGUCAUAUUUAUGCGGCUGGAACUUCCAUUACCAAAGACCUUGCAAUUCGACUCCCUUUCACUCACUCGCUGCGGUCCACCUGCAACAGAAUCAAGAAGACGCCCAACUUCAUCCGGUCCUCCGUCUCGUCUUCCCCCGCCAUCUAUUCCCUCCUCUCCUCUCCUCCCCUCCCAUCUGCUUCCUCAAGGCCGCCUCCAACUCACCAUCACUCUCCGAACCCAGACGGUGACUAAGAUGCCACCUUCGGCCCACGUCGCUGCCCAUACCAUGCCGGCCGCCCAUCAGAUGCUCGAUGAAUUGUGCGACGUAUGUAUGCUGCAUUCUGCUCACCGUAAGUGCGUCCUAAUUAUCAUCGAGUCUUCGUACGGCUAGCUCACCUCAGUGCACCGUUGCAGAUUACGUUACGUUGGCGCAGAACGGAGAGCGUCGAGCGUCUCUAUGAAUCUUCAAGUGUUGGGAGGUUUCGGUGAGUCUUAUUUUCCCCAUCUUUCUCGAUCGAUCUCAUCUGCGCAUCUGUUGCGGUGGUAAACAAAAGGCACAGUUGAUGACCAAUUAAAACCGCUUACCUUAUUCUUUUAACUCGCUAUUGAGUGCCCAAUGAAAUUGCAGGUCGCAGCCAAAUGAUAUCACUCACCGACGACCUGCUCUUUGACCGGCCACGCCUCGGAGGAGCAUCGAUGGUUCGCAAGAUUCUGCAAUUACCAGCGCUCAUUUCUCAGCAUUGGAAAAGUAAGCAAGACAAUCUAACUCAUGCAAUUACACUGUUCAUAACUCUUCUCUUACCAAUGCAUUUCAUUUCAUAUCAUAUUCAAAGAUUUUAAUGGUGAGCAUGAUAACAAAUUCGAAUUCAACAUGAGUAAGCACGUAACAUGACUAGCUAAACAACAGCUUCUCAUAAUCCUAGCGAAUCCAAAUUAGCUGAGUUGCAAAUUUGUGCAUAAGAGUAGGCAACUUAUAGUUUAGACUAUACAAAAUAAUACGAGGCUAACCUAAUCAGAUGUCACUGCUCAUCAGGAUAAAUUUGAUGAGACUUCAGCAGAAACUCCCAACAGUAUAUCAUCAAUGGUUGUAAACAUUUAGGUAGAUUCAGAACAACAUAACAUAAAUGAGACAGACAAAAGCUCUCAACAUACCUAGAACACUUGGAUGUCACUUACCUUAGGAGUAGCACUGUUCAUCUGCAAUUUGGUAUUCAUAUUUACUCAAAAUAUUUCACUUACAUAAAGCAAAAGUUUGUCAGAGCCAUUUAAGUCAGAUGCUGAUUGUCUAAGACUGGAAACCAAGUAUUCAAGGUCAACUAUCAUCAUUUGGAUCACUACUGCUAAAUAAAUUACACAACAUCCUAACAAGAAACUAAUCAGACUAUCAUCAUCACAUACAGUCAGCAAGAGUACAUAUUACAAUAGGGUUCUUUUUCCAGCUCUCUGUAAGUGUUAGAUCAAGCUGAUGCAACUGAACCACAUACCUGCAAGCACAAGAACAGGAACAUAUUAUUUCUUUUCACAUUAGCCAUUUAAAUAUCACAGUGUUAACGUAGAAAAUGAGCAUAAGAAAUUUACUGAAGAACACCUUUGAAGCAACCGUAGGUUAAUUUAUGAACACGUCUACACCUGUAACUUAGCGUAUAAAGUAACUAUAGGGCAAGUUGAAAGAAAAGCAAUAAUGGUGAAGAUCAAUGCUUCUUUCCACAAUAACUUCUUUGAUUGAUCAAUGAACAUUGAGGAAAAAAAAAUCAUCAAAGUCCUGAUCAUGCUGUGGAAUUAGAUGAGUGGGUACAAUGCUUAUGCAAGACCAUCAUUAACAGCCUAUCUUGGCAGAAAAUGACACGAGAAAGGAGCAGUAAAUAUUCAAGUCAUAAAGCAUGAUAUUUCCAGUUCAGUCAAUAGCAAAACAACCGGUGCCAAGCAAGCUGGAGGCAAAAAAAAGAUGUAAACUUAUAGCAAUUGCAUACAGCAAAUAUAGUUUCCAGCCUAAAUAAGCAGAGGUGAGAUAUCUUAACAUUACAAAUUGCUUUAGACAUAAUGAAGAGUAGUGCAGCAUAAACAGGUUCGCUGCACCCUUUGAACGGCAAUUUGGGUCACACUCACAUGUAUGGAUUGUGAUGGUGCUCUAUGGUUAUGUUCGACAAAAAAUGAAAGAAGAGGAGCAUGCAAUAGAUGUCCUACACCCGGAGAGGAGUUGAUGAGGGGCAGGAAAAGGAGAUGAACAUAACUGUUUGCCGCUGCUAACCACCCAUCACCGACCAUGCACUGUCCAAUGUUUGUCAUGUGCCAUCCAAGGCAAAUUGCACUCAAUAUAUAUACGAAUAUGUGUUCAACAACAUUUUAGGGAGGGGGAGAGAAAGAGGGGCAUGACUUGAAUGCAAUGAGACAGGAUUUAAGCUCUGAGGCAUGAGUCUAACCAGAAAGAGACAAGAAUAAAAGGAAAAUAAAGAGAAAAUAAUUAUGUAAAAUAGAUUAUAUAAUAAAAAUACAAAUACAAUUAUAUAAACGACCCAUGCAGACCCCAACCAGAAACGGCCCCCGCAACUGAGAGUAUCCCUUACUACUCGUCGGGAAAUUUUCUGUACUAUGUCCUUGUAUCAUACCAACUACAUAUCAACUCAUGACCCAGGUAACCAUGGAAAGCAUAUGCUGAGAAAUAUUUUUGAGAAACUAGUAGUACGUUGAUGAUAUAGAAUUAUGAAAUGAUUUUAUGAGCUCCAAUGUAACUAAGUGUUUUAAUUAGAAUACCAACAUUUGAACAUCUUGAUAAAUCUUGAAUACAAAGAAUCAAGGUCUUCUACAUAAUGACAAACAUACAGUAUCAUAAAAUAAUUUACAACUAGGCAAGGACUAUUCAAUCUCCAAUCUUGAAGUUAUACACAUGCAUCUUAGUUACAUACUUUUAAGGUCAUUUUUUUUUAGAAAUUAUUGAAGUGAAAAGUAUUUCAUGCAGAAGAGAUCGAAGUCAAAUAUGGAUCCAAGUGAGCAACAUUACCAAAGGUUUGCAAUAACUUACAAUAUAUGCCCACUAAAGUUCAGUGUAUUUCAGCAUGAAAUAAUGAUGUUUUAACCUCUAAUUAUACUAUUUUGCAAUAUAAAAGAACUUUAUUACAUAUGAUUAAAGCAUCAUUAGAAUAAAGAUUCAACCAAUUUUUAUGUUUUGUAAUGCUAACCUUGCAAAUGAAACAUCAAUGAUUGUAGCUAGCACAGGAAGGCUGAGAUUUGAGGAUCACAAAACACAAAUAUGUUUUGUAAGUAUUUAUAGUUAAUGUUGCCAUGUUAUUCAUCUGAUAGACAGUAAAGUUACAUCCUGCAUAUUAAAUACUAGUCAAUUACCAGCAUCAGGCAAGCCCUCAAUAUCCAAAAGAGUUUCACCAUGGAAAAGCUUGAAUUGAGAAGGCUCCAUGAAAAUGGUAGUUAAACAGAAUAACAAAUUCCAAAUAUAACCUCAAAUCAGCAAAAUAAUGAACAUAGUUCUAGAGCCAGGUGACACAUCAAAAAAGGACACAAGGAAAAUGGUGAAGGCGUAGACCAUCUAACCAGUUACUGGAUAGUAUUACGACUUCUUUAAUAAAUGGUUUGCCAACAAGUCAGAUAUCCCUGAGACAGGAAGGCUCUCGCAACCAAAUAGUUCUUGAAGCUUGGGGUCACAGAGAAUAGAUGAAUUUGCAGAAUCCUACAAUAAGCCAAAGCAGAAAAACUCAGAUUAAGUAGUGUUUCUAAUCAAGAGAUGUAUCAGAUAAGAGCAGAUACAAUAGAAAUAAACAAGUAGAAAUUGUGGUCACAUAAAAUAUCAGCAGCUGUAAACAUUAAAGCAAUGUGAGAAUCUUGUCAAAUCAAUGUUAUUCAGAAAUAGAGUUGUAUCCCAUGCUUAGUCACAUUUUGUCCUCACCGGUUAUUGCUCAGAAAAUGAAAUGCAGUUGUCACAUAGAACCUCUGGUUAGCUUAGAUGUUAAUCAACCAAACAAAAUUUUGAUGAACAACCUUUAAAUUUCAAACUAAAACACUAGCAAAUAUUCUCAAAUCCAAUAAAUAUCUUAUAUUACAUACUCAUCAUGAUUGGACCCUGCAAGGCCUUACUCUGAUCUAGGUGUAUUAACUGACAACACUACAAAUCCCCACCCCCACCUCAUUUUCCCCUAUUCAAUUGAUAUUCACCUGAAAUUAACCUGUUCCAGCCAACCCUGGAUGAUUCAAUCAAGUCCAACUGGAUCUUGUCCAUUGUCGAUCAGUUUGGUAGAGAUCAGGGGAGAAAGGAGACGGUGAGCCAGGUCACACGAUUUUACAAGUAUUUUCGAGUGAAUAUACUUUGAAAGGGAAAUGGGGAUGGAAGAGUGCAUCUUAAAAUCAAAUGGCUACAGUAGAUCACAAAGUGAGAAGGCUGAACACUAUAUUUAGAACUUAAAAUGAACUGUCAUGCACUUCGUAGAACAAAAAUUUUGCAAACAACACCUAGAAUUCCUCAUAACAAACAUAUCAUUAAUAGUCUUCAUUUUUUUAGAUUUACAGACUAUAUACAUUUUCUUCCUUUUUUUUUGUAAAUCUCAAUUUUUCAUUCAAGAUCUCUUUUUCACAAUGGCCCCUGAUCUGUUCUUACUGGUCUCAGUCCCACUAACCUCAAUGUUCAUUCAAAAAGUUCUGUUUUUGGUCACAAUUAAAAUGUCACUUCUGAAAUAGAAGAUAUAACACAGCUACAGGCAUCCAUAUCUCCAUGAGAAUUUAAUUAGAAGCUGAAUGAAUUCCCAAGCUCAUCUUCAUUGAAUAGCAUGGGAAGAUAUGCUUACGAUGUUAAUGUCUAAUCUUUGAAGAUGUUACAAGAGAUGAAAGUACAGAUAGGAAGACCCUGGGUAUAGGAAGGACUCCUGAUCUUUGUCUGAUCUUCCAAUCUUCCAAGGAAAGGAUUCCAUAGCUCACUAAAUGGAUUGGUUAAACUAUUCAUCCAUCCUUGGAGUCAAAAUACUUGUCCAUUUGGUCCUGAAGGAUCAGACAACUAGAGCAUGAUGACAGACCGAACAAAUGAUCCAGAUAACCUAAGCCAUCCAAUCCUUAUAUAGGGGAUUGGUUCCACCCAAGCCAUCUUUUAACCCAUCACUAAAUUUUGGAAAUGAAGCACAGCACAUAUGGACACUAAUAACUGAGCAGUUCACCAAACAUAGACAUGAACAUAAACUUUGAUGGUUUUUACAUCAUAAGAAAGUCUUGCCAAUACAAUAUAUUAAUUACAAGAAGUUAGAAGCAUGCCUGACAACAAAAUGUCAUUUCAUAACCAGGAGACCAAAAGGAAGAGGCUCAUAAGUUAAAGAGACAUUAUGAGUCUAGUGCCACACUGCAAUUGCACAAAACAUGAGGAACCUCACAAAGAAUACCCAGGAAAUAUCAUUGGUGUAUCGGAUAGCAUCUGGAUUUUAGCAAUUUAAUUAUAUACCAAAAAUCAGCAUCCCUUACUGUGUUGGGAAAAGACAAAGAUGACACAGCUUAGGUCUGAAUUUUGCAUGUUUAAUGGCAUAAGAAAUUUGCAUGGCAACUAACCAUCUAUGUAUCCGUCUACAAAAGAUAUAAGGUCAAAAUCAAUGACAUUUGUACACAAGUUGGCGAGGUGACAGCACCUCUAGCAUAACAUCAAUUUGUACAAGCAAAGAGUUCAUUUUCAUCAAAGAAGCAUGUGAAAUUACUUGCUGUUAAAUAAUAAAUAUAUGCUGGGGGCAGCCAAACACAAAAAGUAAAAGUACACUAUGAUUAAUAUUAUUAUCAACAUGGGCAAGCAGGAUAUCAUGAACACAGUAAAAGAGGCCACAUAUAUAUAUAUACACACACAUAUGACAUCUUGCUGAUCUUUGAUGUAACAGAACUAAUGCUGUUCUUAUACACAGCCAGAGCUUACUUCCAGCUGGUUGGCUUUUAUGUAAUCCCAUACACGACUCAGAGCCACAGAUUUGAGAAUUUCUCUUUCUUCCCUUCCAAAAAAUUUGGCCAGUGAAUCAGAAAUAACCAUAGGAUAUUCAUCAGAAUCAGGUUUGGUAAUUUCAGUUGCAGAAACAUCUGCAGCCUUUAGUUUUUUGGAUUCAGCACCUGUAUCCUCUGAAAAAAGUAGUGGAUUCAAAUUCAUUCAGGUUAUCGCGGCAUACAAGCAUUCAAACACACUUAAAUGCACGAGAUGAUUAGCCUACUUGGAUAAUCAAGUGGAAUUAUAUGCUUGGAUAGCAGCUUGUUCAUCUUAAACAUAUCAGUACUAUCUGUCUCAAACACCCGCCGUAGUUCAUCAUUGCAGAUGAUCUUCCUCUUGUUAUUAGGAUCUUGCAGAUUGUUUUUUCGGAUGUAAGCCCAUAGCUGCUUUACGAUCUGAACCAAGAUAUAUGCAAUUAGUAUCCCACACAUAGACAAUAGCAAAAACUCGAGCAAAGUGUUAUACACAUUAGUGUGUUGAUUGAAUGAAGAACCUGAGUCCUUGACAUUGCUGCCUCACCAACAAUGGGCUGCAGUUCAGGUGAAACACCACAAACUUUAUUCAGACCCCCAGGACCACCUUUUCUUUUAGCCCUAGGUGGCGCACUGCACAAAGGAUGAAGUAUGGGUAACCAGACCAAGUACCACAAAGUCCAAAAAUAUGAAUGUACAAAACAGGAGCAAAGAUGCAUAUUUCUUGGUACAGAAGCCACCAGUUGCAGUAAUUAUCUACCAUGGAAAGAUGAAAAUAAAGAAGACAUCCAGUUUCUUAUGGAAAAUUAAACAGUAUCCAUAAACAAGUUGUAGAAGUCAGUGCUCUAUUAAUUUCCCAAUGUGUUCAUAGAAUAAAACAGCAACAUGUGUGUUACAGUUGAAGAUUCAAGCAGGGUAAGAUUUCUUUCUUCAUAAAUUAAUCAGAUGAUUCAAUAUGAAUUAGUGACAUAAACUAUUUAUUCUGAGUGAUUAAAUUGUCUUUAAGAUUGUUACCAAUGUUUCAUGUAACUUAAGUAUAACUUUUCCAAGGGAGAGAUUUAGGUUAUAGAGAUUCUGCAACACCUAGGUUUCAGCAUCUAUUUUGUUUGUUCCUUUAAGUGCAUAAUGUGGUAGGCAACCUCCUACCCAUCAACCCAACAUGCCAUUCUGAAUUCAUUAUGGGACUGGCUGCAAGUGUAUAUCCGCAAGGCCCGAGUAAAGGACUAAGUGAAUGGUGAGUCAUCAUCGUAUAUGCAUAAUUUACGCAAGAUCUGCCGAUUUCCUGACACUCAAAAAAUCUUUGGAUCAGUAAAAUAUUUCUCUAUUAAAUGCAAACCUCCUAUAAUCUUCAAGCUUGCAUUGCAUCACUCAUAUGGCAUUUCGAGUCCACAUCCUGGUGCAAGCUAUGCAAAGAGAUAAACCGAAAAAUGACUAAAACAAAACAAAAAAGAAAGGUAGGAAUUUCAAAUUUGGUUGUAUCACCAAGGUAUGAUCUAAAUGUUAGAAAGUUUUUCUUUUAAUGGAUAAACCUACAUCAAGAACUCCAAAACAGGGGCUAAAAAGACAACUUUGGUUUAUGUUUUGGUUCUUGUGGCUUUGUUUCAGUGGUUCUUGUACCGGCUUGGACGCACUAGACUCUAGCAUACAGUGAAGUGACACCGUAACAUGAAUUCAAACUAGCAUACAGUGGUUCUUGUGGCUUUGUUUCAGUGGUUCUACCAUAUGUUAACUAACACACUCUCACUUCAUCUAGUUUACUAACCUCAAAAAGUAGUUAGUUUCUGGAGCGCACACACACUCACUUGAUGAUCAUGCGCUACAUUCUAUUUUUAUUUAUUUUCUCUUUCUUGACCAAUCUUGGAUCAAUAUUAAUAUAUAACCAAAACUAAAAAGAAAAACUAUAAAAAUGUAAUCCACUUGAACCUAACUGGUUGUAUAAGUCUUCAGAAAAACUCUCAUAUGAAUCUAGAAACCAAAAGUUGAAUCAAUUCUUCAGCUUUGUAGUUGCUACUUAAGCCACAUAAAAGCUCAAAUUGAGCACGAAAAGCUUGUCAAGAAAUCCUUGUUAAGAAGAGUAGAGCGCAUUCUAAGCUAAAAAGGAGGCACCUUUCCUUCGGCGCAGCCAUAGCCACAGUCACGGGCGCAAGCCCGACAGCAGCAGGGACCCCCUGUGGCGCCUGGUGGAGCUGCUGCUGGAGGUGGUACGCCGCCACGACGGCAGCAGCGGGCAGAGGCGGGGGCGGGGGAUACUGGAAGGCGAUGCCGGGGUGGUGGUGUUGGGGAAAUGGGGCCGGGGCAGCGACGCCGGCGGAGGAUGUGGGCUUGGGAGGGGGGAUCUGCUGCUGGAGAGGGAGGUGGUGGAGGAGGAUGUAGGGGUUAUGGGGGCCGGCGGCGGCCUGCGACUGGGGAUGAGGAGGGAGAGGAUGAACGGAGGGGCGGAGUAGGAGCUCGAUCUGAUCGCGGAUGAAGGCGGCCUUGUGGGAGAGGUCGAGCCCUAGCUUGGCCUCGACCUGGCGCACGACGUCGGGUAGCGACGCAGCGGCGGGGUCGGACUGCCGGAGGACCGACUCAACGCAGCUGGCGAUCUCCUGGUCCGAAACCAUGGUGAUGGCGGGCCCAACACCAUGUAACGGCGACGCCAGAGGGACAGAGAAAGAAAACUCAAAUGGCCCGCCCCGCCCCGCCCUUUCCCCUCUCUCUCUCUCUCUAUCUCUCUCUUCUCCUCCUCCACUCUCUAUCUCUCUCUUCCCCUCUCUAUCUAUCUCAAUCUCUCUCUCUCUCUCUCUCUCUCUCUCUCUUAGGUCUCCCUUCAGAAAUAGUCGAACAUUUGACGCUGAAAUAACCAAAAUGCCCUCGAAUCCUUGCUUGAGAAUCAAAUCAUGUCACGUGCAUACACGUGACAUGCGUCCUCCCUGAGUUCAUCCCAUUCCAAAGCCUCUUCCGGUUGAUUGGCCGAUGAACCGAGGCCCCAGUGGUGGAGCCCAGCCUCUACUCUACGGACGACGGGAUCCCCUCCAACCAUUCCUUUAGAUAGCACCGUCCAAUUCCCAUCUUAUGUCGUUGACCAAGCGUGUGAUCUGACGACAAAGGGAUGUUGACUUGAGCACGUCUCAGAACUGCCUAAUAAUUAAUGGAUAGUUGGGUCUCCCGUCGAAUUCAAGUCUUUCACAACUAAGCGACUAGGUUAUUAAUCCAAUUCGAUCCAAAGUCUAAAGGUUUGAUCGGUAUCUAAAGGGCAUCACGUUUUGGCUAACAAGAAUAAAAGUCAACAUAAAGCUUGUUUCAUGUGGCUUGUUUCACACACUUACACGAUGUGGAAUAGAUAUCUCAACAACUUGCAUGAGGUUGACCAACCUCCGUAUCUAUUUCUUCUUAUUUAAGAUUCCGAUUUCUUGGAAAUUAAAAAAAGGACCAUUAUGUUGACCUGUGCACAGUGAUUUCGAUGAUUAUUAUGUAUCGAUGAGGUCGGUUUUCGUCAUCCUAUUGACUUAGACGACACGGAUCGCGUCGGGGCCACUAUGAUGAUAUUAGUACUUUUAAUUGCUUAAAAGAUGAUACUCAUUGGGAUUAGAUAUGGUUAGGCUAAGGUAUGAAAUUGUACUUUUAUUUACCUUAUUGCUUCAAUAGAUUGAGUUUAACAGUAGCAAUUUAUUAUUCUAUGCAAUCUUAUUUUGAGGAUUAAGCCAUUAGAGUUGGUUUUGUUUGUCUUCUCAUAUCCUACGAAAUAUGUUCAAUUACAUCCGAUUGUAUGAAAUUUUUAAAAAAUAAAAAUAUAACCCUAAAUGAGAAGGUUAAUUUUGUCUAACAGAAAAAAAAAAAAAACACACAACCCAAUAUUACUUAUAGAAGUAUAUAUACUAUUUGCGUUCUUCAUCAUUUUACUAUUUUAAACAAUAUUAUUUUUAAUAGUUAUAAUGAUUUAUUUAUUUUUCUCUUUUCCAUGGUUUUUGAGGAAGAAAAAGAUCAAGAGGAGUAAGAGGAGAAGAAGAAGAAGAAGAAAAUGAGAAUGAGGGGGAAAGAGAAGAGGAGAAUGAGAUUUAUAUUUAUUUACACAAGGAUAGUUUGAAAAUAUUUAAAAUAAAAUUAUGGAUCGUAAAUAGUUAUCCUUUUAUUUAUAUCUCUCGAUGAAGGCGGAAUAAAGGAGAUUACUAUUUGAAACCCGUAUAUUUACUAUAUUUAUAAUCUUAUUUAUAAUUUUUUUAAUAUUUUUAAAUUAUCACUUUAUAAAUUAAUAUAAAUAUUCUAUUCUUAACCCUCUCCCCUCCCUCUUAUUCUUUCUUCUUAGAUAACGAUGUGAGGGAAGUAAUAAAUAGGAUCGGAUGGCAUCGAGCGAUAAGGAGAAGAGAGUAAAGAGGAGUUAAAGAAACAUUAUCCCCCAAUAAACCCUAAUUUGACUUCAGGAUAUUCCAUGGCUAUACUAGCUCAACCAAGAAGCCCUAAUUCAUGAGUUCGAUGCCCCUUCCUCCUUCCCCCAUACAUUGUCAUUCAUGGUUUCCCUUUUUAAGAAAUCAAGCUUGUACUCCUAAAAAUAAUGAUUUACAUGGUGUACAAUAGAGGUAAGCCUUAUUGAUUGAUUUUUUUCGAAUUCGCUAGCUUUAUUAUGCUCAUGGUGGAUCAGUUGCCUCUGCAUGCACUAUUGCUUUGUUUGUCUAUCAGCAUGAACUUGGAAGAGAAACAAGUGAUGUUCAUGUCAUGGAUUAACGCAUAGCUGAGGAGUACAUGUCUUUUGCAACUAUCAUCUGACAUGAAACAAAUUACUUUAGGGCUUGACAAGUAAUGAAAAAUGGAUGUCCGUGGCUAAUAAAUCUUAGUCAACACCGAUACCCACCCAACCAUCUUCAUCAGACAUAGAGAUAGAGUUGUUGUGAUCAUGAUUAUUGAAUUCUUGGAUGAUACAAAUUGCUGCUCUAUGUAGUUGCCAAUGCAGUGUCUUAAAGAGUCUACUAAAGUUAGAUGUUUAGGUUGAAGGAUGAUGGAUGCUUCGUAAAACGAUAAAGAAUCAUUUAAGAUGACGUUGUAUAAUUUGAAUAUGUGAAAUAAUAAUAAUAACUAUUAGGAGAGACAAAGACACGAGGAGAUAUUUAAAAGAAUUAUUAAUUGUAAAUAAAAAAAAUAUUCAAAUAUUUAUAAUUUAAUUACAAAAAAAUGAUUUUCAAAGAAUUUAAUGACAAGUGUAUUUAAAAUAGCUGAGAUAUCAUGAUUUUAUUUUGGUUAUUAUGUUCAAAGUUCCUAAUAGAAAAUAAAAAUAAUUAAAUCAGUUAUUAUAUUUUACCCAAGGACUUGAAUCCUUCACGUAGGACCCACCGCAUCCACGGAGGGAGGGAGGACAGGGAGGAGGUUGGGGGUUGGGGGGUGGAGGACGGUCACAUCCGCCCCUGAAACGUUUUGGCGUUGCGGGUCACGUGGUCUCUUCACCGCCAUGCACGUGAAAUGGGACCCGCGCGAUCGGUCCGGAUGCGAAGGCCACAUCACCCGUGGAAAAACCUUGGUUCUCCCCACCCCUCGGCAGAACCCGUGAACCCACCCGCCCGCCCGACCGCCUCGGACGACGCGACGACGGUGCUUCUUCCAUGAUGUGGCGGAGCACCUCCACCGGAUCACCGAGACAACUAAUAUGCAGCAGUAGCCGCGGCAGGACGACGAGGCAUCAGUCGAUGGAGGUACACGAAAACAACCCGAAACCCCAAUCCCAACCGUAACCCUAACCCUAACCUUAAUCUUAUCCCCUCCUAGAAAACAACACCGAACCCACCCGUCAGUAGCAUCCCCGCGCGGCAGCCGUGUUUCCCGUAGUCGUUCCGUGCUCUCUGAUCUUUACACCAUAUCUUGUUCAAUCACCCUGUUUGCUACUGGUUCGUUUGUCUGACUGCAGCGAAGUUAUCGCUGACCGCACGGAGCCCACCAGCUGUUUGUUGAUUUGCUUCGACCAAGCCCCCUUGCCGAAAGCUGCUGCCGGGGCAGCUUACUGGAUUUGAGGUAUCGUGAUGGCCUAGCGGACUUGGAACGACUUUGAAUGGAUAUAUAGUAUAUCCUUUGUGUUUUCGUCGCCAUUGGUAACUCUCCUAAUGACUUGUUGCCAUGCCCCAAUUGUUUGUGUAAUUUCUUUGUUUGGAACUCUUAUGUGAUUAAAAUUCAGUUUGAAAUUCCUCGUCUAGAAUGAAAAGUGACUACAAUUUAAUUAAAAUCGAGUCACAUGGUCUGGCAAUGGAUUAAGAUGAAAUUCAUAAACUUAAGACAUUAUUUCUUAAUUUCUAGAAUGAAGCAGUGCUUUCUUUUUUUGUGACUCUUCAUGGCAUACUUCUUUUCAUGUCACAUCAAAAUUAAGAAGGUACACCAAUGUUUCACAUUUUGUGAUAUGAUGAUAGGGACUUGUACUACUUACAUGAAUCCAGCUUGACCUGCUAGUGAACUAACUAAGAGUAAAUUGGUUUUGUUGGAUAGGGUUAACUUAUGAUUUUAACUAAUUUUAAAUUAAGCUAAAUAAGAAGAGGACCGUCAUUAUGGAAUAAACUUAAGUCUCAAAUUAGUGUAUCAUGUAAUAAUAGGUAGCCAAAAUCAUACCUUGACCAUUUCUCCAAACUUCACAAAAUAGAAGAACUCAAUUUAUUCCAAUUUUGUUCCAACCAAGGUAUCACUCUUAAUUUUGAUCUCAACUGAAAUUAAUAUGAAAUCCGUUCAAAAUUAUUUGAAGUUGAUUCCAAAUAGGAUGUAAGAGAAAUACCUAGGUAUCUGUAUCUUUUUUCUUUCAGCUGGAAUUCACAUGGCUAUCCCAAGGUUGAUUUUGGCAUUCGUCACACUGCCUUGUGAUGCAUAUGGAUUGUAUUGAUUUGAUUGUUAAUCAUUUUCAUGGUACCAUUAGUUGGGGUGAGGAGGUGCCAUGAUCGAUGCAAGGUUUCUUGAUGCAAGUAGAUCAUAGGCUAGUUCCUCUAGCUAUCGAUGAUUAAAAUAUCAGGCGACGUGUCCUUAAUUUGUAAUUGAAUUGAGUGUCAGCGGAUUCUUUGGUCAUCAUAUAACUAACCACAAGUAAAUGGGUAAUAGCGACGGCAAAGUAGGAGAAAUCCUUCCAUGGAUAAGUAAGCAAGUUAUAUGAACCAUCUCAGAGGGAAUGAGACAUAUGUGAUGACUGUUAAAUUUAAAGAGCAUUUUAUAUAUGGUAGACAUCAUGCUAGAGCAUUAGUUGAUUAGCAUCAUGACUUAUAUGCUCUGCACCAGAUGGAGCUUAUGCAGGAUGUUCAAUAUGAGAGACUGUUAUGCUUGUCAGCUGAGAGUAUAUAUAGAUCAGGAAGAAGAUAUCAUCUGGAGGAUUAAGUAGGAAACCUCAAGUUCUAUCAUAGGUUGAACCUGAAAGGCCUUUCUUAACUUGUUUUUGAUGAGGAUCUUUCUUAAUUGGCUUUUGAUAAGGGCCAUACUUUUUUAUUGCUCUGGUAGUUGAAGGGGAUGUUUAGUUAGGUUUACAAAGAUGAAAUUUCCAGGGAAAUGUUAAGAAUUUUGGAUCAGUCUUUAAAGAUAUAUACCACAGUUCGGUGAUGAACCAAUUGAACUUGAUGAUAAGGAGUUGGGAAACUUACCUUUUGCAGGCAGUAGAAAAGAGUGAACUAUCUUCCUUUGCUGUACUGCUACAUUCUUUUAGAUCAGCUUAUGUGACGAAGCAUGUCUGUCUGAUUGUAUGGGCUAUAUUUGCCAAGAUGGUACUGGGUAGCUUUUAUCUAGAUUUCAUGCCGGGCUUACAAUAUAAGCUGAUACUCUGCAUGUGGUUGAUGGCUUUUAAAUAGCAUUUUAGAUAGGCUUAAGUAUCAAUAGACGAAGAAUGUCUGUCUGAGUGUAUGGGCUAUAUUAGCCAAUAUGGUACUGGGUAGCUUUUAUCUAGAUUUCAUGCCAGGCUUACAAUAUAAGUUGCCGCUGCAUGUGGUAAUUGACUUUUAAAUAUCAUUUUAGAUAGACUUAAGUAUCAAUAGAUGAUGGGCAUCUUUAUUCAAAGGUAGUUGCAUGAAUGUGGUAUGUAAGAAUGGUUUAGAGAAUGAAUUUGAAAUCGUAUCCUGUCUUCAGCUGUAUAAAGUGCUUGUUGUGAUAAGCCACCAUUUCUGUAGCUGCUUGUAUCCCCUAAAAGAUGGUAACCAUGUUUGUAAAUAACCUUUUUAGGCUUAAUAUCCAAGCAAUCUGAUAAGGAACCCGAGGUGGUCUGCAGGUGAAGUUUCCAUGGUCCCCUGCUGUUGGAGGACCUUUUUGCUGAGUUAUGCAGGAUCACCUGCACAAGCAGCAGUCAAUGGUGUCUGCCGUGAUCCCUGGAAAGUUGACCUGGAGCGUCAAGUUGUGAAUCUAUUUAAAAUUUUUUAUUUUCUUUUUCAAUGAUAAUUUUAAGUUCUUUUGUUUGUAUGUCAAAGUAGAUGUGACCCUCAAUUAGGCAUUCUAUUGUUUUUAGGAAAAAAAAAAUCUCUGUAUACAUAAUUUGUUCUUAAUCUUUGAAUUUUAUUUGAAGGCGAUCCAGUAAUUUCAGAAUUAGUUUCUAGUUCUGUCAGCUUCAUAUAAUAUUAUAAUUGGAUUAAUCUUGCAUCUGAUAAUUUCAAUCUUGCAGCUUUUGUGGGGCUUUAAAGUGUUGUUUGCUUUUUAUCUUUCUUAGUGGAUGUAGGGUGUUGUGUACUACUAUCACAGCGCUUGAGAUGGAACAGGAUGAAUCUCCACUUGAGUCUAGUGAUGAGGAGCUUAUCUGUGACAAAGAUAGUGGGAAUCAGGAACGAAUGGAGAAAAGAGUUGCUGGCCUUGAAAUCGUAAAAGCACCUGAGCCUGGAAUGACUUUUCCUUCUUUGGAUGCUCUUGUCGAAUACUACAAGAAAUAUGGAAAGCAAGAAGGUUUUCGGGUUAGUAGAAAAUCAAGAACAAUCUCAAGUUCUGGAAAAAUAGAACAUGUGACAAUUGCAUGUUCGCGAGAGGGAAAGCCAUACAUCUAUAAACGGAAUAUUCUACAACCCAAACCGACAACAAAAACUGGAUGCAAAGCUCGAGUUAAUGCUACUCUGUUUGAAAAUAUGAGCUGUAGAAUCAAUUCAGUUAGGCUUGAACACAGUCAUUCUCUGGUUCCGAGAAAAUCACGCUUCUGCAUGUGCAACAGGGAUUUAUCUAUAGGUGCACAAAAAAGACUCGAAUUGAAUAAUAUGACAGGGACUGGUGUAAAUAGGAAUGACACAACUUGUAGUGUUCAGGCUGGGGGUUGUGAGACUGCACCAACUUUGGAGAAAGAUUGCAAGAAUUCUGUUGAGAAGGCAAGUAAGUUUUGGCUGGGUGUGGGUGAUGCUGAAGCAAUUUUUGAUUACUUUAUUCGUAUGAAAUCAAAGAAUUCAAGCUUUUUUUAUGCAAUGGAUGUUGAUGAAGAAUCCCGAAUUAAAAAUGUGUUAUGGGCCGAUGCAAGGAGCAGGGCAGCAUAUGAAGAGUUUGGUGAUGUUGUUACAAUUGAUACAACAUAUUUGACAAAUAAAUAUGACAUGCCUUUUGUACCUUUUGUAGGUGUUAACCACCAUGGCCAGUCAAUUUUAUUUGGAUGUGGCUUGCUGUCAAAUGAAGACACCAUGACAUUUACAUGGUUGUUUAGAGCUUUUCUUUCAUGUAUGUCUGGGCGUGCUCCAAAUGCUAUCAUCACAGAUCAAGACAAGGCCAUGCAAAAAGCUAUUGAGACUGUAUUCCCGGGCAUUCGUCACCGAUGGUGUUUGUGGCACAUAAUGAAGAAACUGCCAGAGAAGUUUAAGGGUUAUAGGGUGUAUGAAGAAAUGAGAAAAUUGAUGCAAAAUGCAGUUUAUGAUUCAUUCACAAAGGAGGAAUUUGAAGAAAGUUGGACUAAAUUCAUCGAGAAAUUUAAUUUAUAUGAUAAUGCAUGGUUAAAAGGUUUAUAUGAAGAGCGGCACCGAUGGGUCCCUGCAUUUGUGAAAGAUUCUUUCUGGGCUGGGAUGUCUACAACACAAAGGAGUCAAAGGAUGAAUCCUUUCUUCGAUGGGCUUGUAUAUUCGAAGACAACGAUGAAGCAAUUUGUUGAGCAGUAUGAUGUUGCAUUGGAAAGUAAAGUCGAGAGAGAAGACCAAGCGGAUUUUCAGUCCUUCAACUCAUGGGUCCCCUGUGUAACUCAUUUUGAUAUAGAAAAACAAUUUCAACAAGUUUAUACCAUCGACAAGUUUAAAGAAUUUCAGCAAGAGAUGGUAGCAAAGCUUUAUUGUGAAGUCACUUUAGCAGGUGGGAGUGAUGGAAUCUCGGAGUAUGAUGUGUCUGAGGAUGUCUUGAUCGGGGAUGAUGAUGAUCAACAUCAUAAGCUGGUCCACUUCAAGGUGCAUUUCACCGAGGGUGAUUGUGAAGUUCAGUGUAGCUGUCACUUGUUUGAAUUUAAGGGAAUCAUAUGCAGGCAUAUGAUAUCUGUCCUAGUAAAGAGGCAAAUUUCUAGUGUUCCGUCAAGAUACAUUCUACCACGAUGGAGGAAAGAUUUGAAAAGACGUCAUAUGAAGGUGAGAGUUGGUUAUUGCGGUUGGAGCAAUAAUCCAAAGGCCCAACGAUAUGAUUAUAUACACAAUAAGUUUGAUGAGGCAGCAGACAUGGCAGUUGAGUCUGAUGAGUACUCUGAGAUGCUUUGGAGUUGUAUUGAUGAUUUCCAGAAAAGAAUAAAUAAAAGUGAUGUGGAUGGCAAGGGCACUCAACACCCUUCUGCAAGACUAACCAUCGAAAACAGACUGCUUAGUCCUCUAGCUCUUCGUAGGCAGGGGCGUCCUUCGACAAAAAGAAAGGUAUCCAAGGUUGAGCAAACUAUAAAGAAACACCUGCAACCCAAAAAGAAGGGUCAAAGUAGUGGCGAACACGACCAACAGGUGAACACACAAUGUCUCAGUUUGUUGCCGAAUUAUAAAGUUUUAACAAAUUCGAUCUGUGCGAGUUUUUACACUUCAAAUUGCAGGUAUCACAACACCACCAAACUGUUGACACCUACGCACGCGAUAUCGUAGGGGCAACUGCACAAGGCUCCACUGAGAUUGGAACGCAAGAAACCAUUUUGCAGGUAUGUGGACCAUCAGAAAAUAGCAACUACUUGUAUUGGUGGAACACAAUGGAAAUAACACUAAAACCAGGUCUCUCUCUCCUUUAUGUUUCCUCACACCAGGCAAAUGCGACUUAUGGUCAAUAUCCUGGCCAAGUCCUAAAUAUGCAACAUGUGGGUAGCAAUCCUCUACUGCCACCACUUGUUCAAGUUGCACCAGGUAAGCCAACUUUGACAAAACAGUAAUCAAAGCUUCUACUCUAUAAUGCUUGCUAACAGCUUAUAUAAUUGCCUUUGUUAGAAAUAAGAGGUUCCACGUGGGGUCAGCACGGAGUAUCUGAUUACCCGUUUCAGGGAUACAACGAUAACAAAUGAUGACUGAGAACCUAAAUCUUUCAAGGUAAAUGUCAGAUACCUUUGUCGACUCUCUUCUCAUCGAGUCUCCAUGUUACAAGUCCUCCAGUUCUUGUCAUUUGCGUAUGGUAUGGAUUAUGUUGAUUCGAACCGACAAUUGAGUAUAAAUAAUAUCAUACAAACAACAAGUUCUGGAGGACUCGUGUGGUUUCAGUUUCCAAGUCAUAAUUAACUCCAAUCUUCAUUCUAUGAUCGUUUUGCUCAGUUGCAGGAUCAGCGGUUCCGCAGCAGAGAAAUGCAGGAGGCGUGCGCAGGUUCUAGUGGACACUCCUAUCGAUCGAACACCGGAAGAGGACUUGUACAGAUAGUGGUAUGGAUCGGGCGCUUUAUAUAUUCUUGUUUUGUGGAUGCUACCACGUAAAACAAUGGACUUCUUUUUCCACUUCUCCGUUGACAACAGCUUGUAAUGUAGAAGCCUGCCUGCCUGUUCAAUUUAGACUGCUUUGAGUAACGUCUGGCCCAAAUCACAGAAAUAAAACACACUUUUAUUCUUGUAGGCUUAUUGCUAUCUUUUCGGUGUCCAUUUAAAAUUAAAUAUAUAUAAUAUGCUUAAAAAUGUCCUUAAUUUUUUUAAAUCAUCGACACUGAUGUCUAUUAGAAUCUCAACAUAAAAUGUGUUACGUGGUAAGUUUUCCAAAUUUAUUUAACUGGAAAAAUUUUAGGGAUAAACACCAAAAUUAUCGACUUCCUUGGCUUAACUGUGAUUCGGAAGUUGGAUGGGACCCACCUGUGGGACUGUGAUGUCGACCAGUGAAAGAUGGUUGCGUAACGAAAGAUGGUUUUGCAAGAUCAAUCGCACAGAAAACUAGCCGUUGCGUGGCCGUCGCCUACGCACCCCAGCCACCCCCCCGACCAAACGGCUACUUCUUCCCCCCCAUAGAAACCCUUGUUCUUGAUCUUGAUCUUGUUUCUCCCUCCUCCUCCUCCUCCUCUAAACCCCCUUGAGAUGGAGAACUAAUCUUGUAUCCUCCUCUCCCACUUCUUUCUGCCAACAAAAUGAUAGCGGAAUCCGAUCUCCAUUUCUCCGACAUUCCUCUUCCUCCCCCCUCCGGGUCAGAUGCCGAGGGGAAGCACCGCAGCCUCCCCCCUCCUACUCCGGUGCCAUCGGCGACGCAACCACCAGUCCCCACCCCUCUGGCCACUGAUCGGAAGUCCCGCCGCCCCCGCGCGAGGCAGAUCAGCUCUCGCUACCUGUCCCCUUCCUCUUCCCCUUACCCUUCCUCUUCCUCCUCCGUCUAUUCUUCUGAAACCCUACGCUUCGCCGCCUCUCCAAGAAAUGGGUUCGCCGCUCCCUCCUCCGUCGCAAUCCUUUCCAAGAAGCACCAGCAGCAGAAACCCCACUGGCGCCACCCGUCUUCUCCCGGGCCCGAACUCGAGGAGGCCGACGAGAACCAGCCCCUGGCAUCCGUCAGGCGGAGCUCGGAGACCCCCCUCCCCUUCUCCGCCCACGGCAAGCCUAUCGGCACCAUCAAGAAGCGGGCCGUCGUCCGAUUGUUCACCGACAACCACAGCGACGCUGCAGAGCAGCCGCCGAGGUUGGAUGAUCCUGGGCCGAGGCCAAGACCGGGAACCCCGGUGGCUCACCACCGUGUCCUGGAUAGCACCCCCGUUCUGAGGACGAACACUCGACCCCCUACACCCUCCCGGGUGAACCUCUUCCCUUCCGAUGGCUACCGCUGGGCUCAUGGAAGCGGCGACUGCGGGUUGGAUGAAACCACCUCGGAGAAUUCCUUUUCCGACACGGAGACUUGCAGCGUUAGCAGUCAGGGUGGCCUCUGCGACAGCCCGCCCCUCCUCCCUCCUGCGUCUUGCAGAUCGAGGCUGGCCACGGACGUCCGGUCGUCCAUGCCGGAGGCGGACCUGCUGCCCACCAUGUCGGCCAGACGCCAAGACGGGGCCGAGGUCUCUUCUUGUAGAUCAUCUACCAGCUCGCUUUUCUUGCGCUCGGCUUUCUCCGGCCGCCAACAGCAGCACCCCUUCAAUUUGAGCAAGUCCGUCAAUAGGCCUCUCUUCUCGUCGAAGCCACCACAACCUCCGAGUGCUAAACCAGCCGCCGAGGUGAAGAAGGUGAACAAGGCACUGGGCCGACAGGAGGACGCCCAUGUGCUUAGGCUUCUCGACAACUGCUAUGUGCAGUGGAGAUUUCUCAAUGCGAAAGCUCGGGGGACGGUGGAAGCUCGGGGAGUUGCGGCUCAGGUUAGUGAGUGUGGAGGUUGCAAUGGCAAUUAGAUUUGGUUUCUUGUCCAUUACAGAACAAAUACCGAACAGUUUGAGUUCUUUUUAGAAAUCACUGUGUGGGCUUUCCGGGAGGAUUGCAGAGCUUCAAAGCUCUGUUAUGGAGAAGAGGAUCCAGCUUGAACAGCUCAAAAGAAGAGAGAGGUUAUUGUCCAUCAUCCAUCAUCAAGUAAGACUGGAUCUUAUUAUGAUACUGCUACAUUUUCAUGUGUGGAUAUCAAUUUUCUCAUCUGAGUUGGAUGUCUCUCCUCUCAUAUGCAAGGGUUUAAUGCCACAAAAUGAGGAUGAGCCACACAUUUCAUGAUUCAUUGAGCUUUUUCUGUUUGCAAUAGGCAAAAAAAUUAUUUUUUUCUAUUCUUUCAUUUUUGGGAUUUGUGAGUGAAUUUUGGAAUAAUUUCCUCUUCACGAGGAAUAAUUUCAGAUAGAGUUUUAGAUUAUGUUAAGGAGAUAGAACAGUAUGAUCUAUGGAUUCUUUCUCAUGCUACCAGCAAAACUAUCCCACUAUCAUGUUCAAGAUCAUAUAUAUAUAUAUAUAUAUAUAUAUAUAUAUAUAUAUAUAUAUAUAUAUAUUGGAUGAUUAAGCAUGCCCUAGUAUCAUAAUUUGUUCUAUUUUGUAGAUGCCACAUUUGGACGAGUGGACCGUUCUUGAAGAUGAUUAUUCAAGCUCUCUUUUAGGGGCAACAAAGGCUUUGCAGGAUGCUUCACUUCGACUCCCGAUUGCGGGGAAUGUGAGGGUAUGACACCUUUAGAUUAAUCAUCCUCUAAUAGAGUUGCUGGAUCUUGUUUUCUUUUUUCAUUUCCCCCCCCUUCUAAUGGAUUGAUUAUGAGAUCUUACAUUAUCAUAAUUGCAGGUAGAUACUCGUGAACUUAGGGAAGUUAUGGACUCUGCAUUACUUAUGCUGGAAUUACUGUCUCCGUGUGUGGCGAGAUUUCUAUCAAAGGUGAGGUUGCUGAAUUGUUGCAAGAAAAGAAUUUGAACGCUUCAUUCGUUCAUCUAGGGAACUUUGUCGCGUAUUGGUAUUCCAACAUAUAUCAUAUCUUUAACAUGCACAAUGUACCCCCCUUGCUGUUCUUUAGUGAUUUGUGCACCUAAGGUUAUUGCUCUUGAAUGCCAAACUUGUGUUUUUGUACAUAGAAAGAUUUAAAUGCAAUGGAUUUAGAGGUUGAAGACUAACACAUAUAGAGCAUAGAAUACAAUAGAUUUAUCCUAUGAGAGGCUGAAGAUAUGGAUCAGAAUACAAUGGAUUUUGCCUUUUGAUGUCUUAUCAUGUUUAUAUUUAUGCUGCUAGCCUCUGAUACUAAUAACUCCCAACUCUUAUUAUUACAGGCUGAAUAUAUCACAUCAUGUAGCUUCGGAUAUAUUUAUCCUGCUAGCCUCUGAUAGUUAAUAACUCCUGACUCUUAUUACAGGCUGAAGAUGUCGAUCAUGUAGCUUCGGGCCUGGCAAGUGUGAUCAGUACUCAAAGGGUUUUGGUUGACGAAUGUGGAAAUCUUUUAUCAGAGGCACAUGUGUUGCAGGUUUGCAAUUGUUUUCUUGGAAGAGCACUAGAAUAGAAUCACACACUAUUUGGAGCAGCUAGCUGCCUCCGGGAUCUGGCAACAGAAGUUUAACCUAUGUUUAUUGCUGCUUGGUCUUUGUUAGGUGAAGGAAUGCAGCUUAAGAACCCAGCUUAUUCAGGUUAAACACAGGCGCAUACAGUAGUCGAUCGUUUGCAACGACACUCACUCCGAGUUUGCCAUUUGAAACAAUUACUAUUCUUCUUUUGAAAUCACCAGAAGAAGUUUGCGUUCAAUCGAUUAAGGAGAGGCUGAGAGGUUAAGCUCUCUUUUCUUGUGAUAUUAUUAUAAGCUAGAGAUGGCAAAUCAUUGAAGAGUUGGAGCAGCGAGCGUUCUCUCUCUCUCUCUCUCUUCUCUCUAUUCAUACCAGAGCAACUUCGACCCUUAGCAGCCUCCCGGCCCAAAUCCGAUGACCUUCUUCGAGACAUCGUACACCACAGUGAACGUCCUCUGCUGCACGUUUCCCACUAUCCCCAGGUCACCAUCGUCACUGUUGGCGGCGAAGGCCAGGCAAACCUGCGACUGACUCAGGGCGUAGAGGAUGCCCCCGAAGUCCAGGUUCAUCGUCACACCGUCGCUGAACUCCAAGGCCACCGUCGGUAUCGACACCGUGGUGUAUCCCGUGAAGUCGUAGCAGGUGUCCAGUAAGGAAUCCGGGGCUGCCGCCUUGUAGCUCGACAUCCCCUGUCGGAAGGCCGACCGGAGCGCCGAGUACGCCGUCGGAGGCAGCCGGCUUAUGACCGUGCCGGAGUCGAUGAUCGUGCCCGCGUUGGAGAAGACGGUGGCCGAUAUCGGGAGGCGCUGCCCGCCGACGCUUAUAGCUACCAAGUCCAAGAAAUAAAACGACGGCGAGCUCGCGUCGGUCAGCAUCGGCGUGAACUUGACGUUGGACGAGGACGAGUAGCUGCCGCUGCCGAAUGUCAAGAAGCCCGUAGAGCUCGACGUCGACGGCAGGCAGUAGGCGAAGACCCCGCCGUACUUCUGGUACGCCUGCACGACCAGCGAUGCCUUGUUACGGCCGAGGCCCAUCAGCCCCGAGAUCCUACCGAAGAGCCCACGGUUCUUCUCGCCGCACCCGAACCGGAAAUUGGGAAUCACGUCGGCGUCAGUCAGCGUGAGCUUCUCCUCGGCGAAGAAGCCGAUGGUGUAGGACUUGUCGCCGUACUUCACCCCGUAGAGGCAGGUGGAGGAGCUGCAGCCGGAGACGUCGAGGUCGGAGCAGUAGGCAGAGCCGCAGGAGAUGUUGGCGUACGUCGACGAGUGAGAGGGGUCGAAGAUGGGAUCUUGCUGCAGGUAGCAGUAGGAGGCGCAUGGCUGGCACUGGAUCCAGGUGACGUCGCUGCCGGUGUCGAAGACGACGGUCUGGUCCCGCUUGGGGGUGCCGAAGCCGACCGUCACGACGUAGUUCCCGACUCCGAGGGAGCUGCCGCUUCGGGCUGGGAUCGCCGAUGCCUCCACCGCCGAAUCCUGCGGUUGCACCUUCACCUUUGUCGCAGAGGUAGGAGAGGAGGAGAUCUGCCGGUGGAGCCAGUCGACUCGGAAUCGAUCUCGCUCUAGGAUUUGCUGGUGGGAGAGGACCUGCCGGUGGUGCAGCGGCGAGCAUGGGCCGUGCCGGUGAGCUACCGUCAGUCUCGUGAAGUUGGAGCUGGCGGUACCUGGACGAAGACAAGAUUGAUUAGUCAAAGGUGACGUUGACCGCCUUUCUUGGAUACAUGUUUCAUAUCAUAUUUUGAUCGUGUUCCACAGAUCCAAUAAUUCAGUCAGUAAGCGUCAACUACGUUACUAUGCGAUGAUGAGACAGAUACAGACCAAUUAUUAGUGAGGAUGACUUCACAUACGGAGGAACCACACAAUUCUAUCUAUUCUAUGAGCGAUCGGUGGCAAUGGAUUCCCCCACCACCAUCUUUCGACGUACGAGUGAGUGAGUGAGUACCUCUUGAUAUAUAGUUUCUUCCUUUUUCUCAUAUUAUAUGUAUGCAUAAAAUAUAAGCUAUGAUAUGAUUACUACGUACUAGUCAAAAAUCGAAUGAAAUAAGAUAGUUAUUACACCUUUGGAUGGUGAACACACUUUGUCCGGGAACAAAGAGCGGACGUCAACCUUUCGAUGGCUUUCUUGUUCUCCUCCGACAUGGGAGCAUACAGCAAGAGUAAGCAUCAGAAGAAGGUAAGCAGCAGAGGAGGGGAAACUUGAGGAAAGAGAAGCAGCCAUGGAUGUCUACUACCCAAGAAGAAAGAGGUUGUGGAGGGAGGCCAAAGGUUGUGGGAAUAUAUAUAUAAUACACGAAAAUAUCUUUGUUUACUCAAGUUGGGGAAGGCUUCAAGAAAUGGCCCUCUCUCUCUCUCUCUCUCUCUCUCUCUCUCUCAAUCACAUUUCUUGUUAGGCUGGCUACCGGUGGGGUGGGGAAAAACAAAUUAAAGAAGACUCAUCGGGUCCACAAGAGGUCCAAGUCCACUUACCCAAAUGGAAUCCAACAAGCAUGGCAAAAUGGAAGCGUCCACGCUCAAGCCAUAGAAAAUGGAGCCCGUUCGCUUGGUGGUCUCACUGUCGAUGGCACCCGAAACUUAAGUUUCCACAUGUCCUGACAACGAAGGGGGGGAAGAACACAAGGUCUAAUAUCAGAAGAUGUCACAUAUUUUUGACUCCGUCGCUAUAAUAUGGCUGUGGGUGGGUGACUACCUACAGUUCUUCGUUUCUUGUGACGACAGAGGGAGAAAGACUUGUAGUAGUCUUCUCUCGUAGAAGAGUAAGGAGAGACUUGCAUCGCAGAGAUGAUUAUUAGCUAGUGACGAACUAAUUAAUAAUGGUCAAAUUCAUAUUUUGAUUGGCUGUGUACGUACGCCACCUAAGGAAGGCUUCUUCUGGCUUGCCGGAUACGGCGAAGAUGGAUUUGGACUCUUUCUCCGGCCACUUGUGUGAGCUAUCAUCAUAUCUCUGGUCUCCUUUUUAAGUUGAAGUCAUUCCACCUUUAUCCAACCAGUAGGUUGCGAAUUAUUUUAAUAUAUUUCUAGAUUCCAUAGUGAAGUUAGGAGGCAGGAAACUAGUGCUGGCAUGGCAUGGCAUGAUAUUAGUUAAGACUUGAUAAGCUACACAUGGAAAUGCAGGAGCCAACUUUGACCAUCAUUCCUAGGGUCAAAUGAACCUUGACAAUGCCAGCCAACCUAAAUACAUCAUAUGAAUUAUCAUAUAUAUAGAUGUUAAUCACCAUGUAGGAGGAAUACUCCAUCAAAAAGUUAAACCUGCAAUUGGAUUCGAAAGUAUGAUUCCUGAACAAGAUAUCAAAAAUAAAGCCUUCAUCCGAGAAUAUAUAUAUAUAUAUAUAUAAAAUUCAAUCUUGAUUAAUUAUCAGGUUACACAGGUGGGAAACCCCUCCCUUGGCUCCGAGUCGCGAGGGAAAGCAAUAAUUACAAGAAGACGAUGGAUCAUUUUUUGCCCUCAUUAAUCUUAGGUUAUUCAUCUUAUAACUAGUUUGAUAGAUAAUUCAUGAUUAACCACCUUUUUUUCCAUAAUUGAAUGAUCGUUAUUAUGGGUAUCCAAAAUUAGUUUUUAUUUUUGUUAACAUGUUAUUACUAAGCAAGAACUCUUAUUAACAUAUUAUUUUUUAUUUGUCGCACUGGGUUAAUUAACUCAUUAACUUAUUGAGCUUUAACUAAGUCCGACCUAAUGACCCAAAAAUACUUAACCUAAUUUAAUGACCUGAGACCUAAAUUGGUAAUGGCAUGAAACACAUCAUAACAUGCCUUCAAACCCAUCCAUGUAUAAUCCAUCAUUAAUCUUAAUACUAGGUCAACUCUGAUACCAUUAAUCAUGAUCCGACCAUUGGAUCCCAUUAACUUGUUAAGCUUGAUCUCAUUCAAAACUAAGUCUAAGUUAAUGAUAGAAGACUUAUCUAAACUCUUAUAAAUCCAUUCAAAUCUUCUCUCACUUUUUGGUAUAAGACUAAGUCGGAAUAAUCUCCAUCACUUAAUUACAUCCUAGCUCUUCAGACCCAAUCCAAUGAUGACUACAAGUCAUCAUGUUCCAUGACAUGAGUCAUCAUAAGUAAUCAUUUUCAAUCUCAUUCAUGAGUAAUCAUUUCCUACUCAAGCCUCUUGUCAUUUUCAAUACUAGCUCAUCUUUAAUACCAUACAAGUUGUCAUAUAGAAUUGUAAAAUACAAUUAUAGAUAUAAAAACUAAGGGUGAUUUCCCUUUAAAAAGCUUCUCGUUUUACCUUUUUUUUUUUUUCAAAAGGUACUAAUAUUUUUAAUUUUUUAAAUGAUGCCCCAAAUUUCAAAUAAUACCCAAAAUAUCUCUAUACUAUAUCCAAUUGUACUAUGCUCGAUAAUCUUAGAGACUAUGGACCACCGAUCCAUAGGGUGCAAUGAUAAAAAAACAUUGUAAAGCCUACUUGAUAUAUAUGACUCAAAUGGAUUUUUAAUCUUAUCCAAACCAACUAUAAGUCUAAAAAUUUGAUAUUAUAAUGGUCUAGAAGCAACCGAAACCAAAGAAACAAUAUGAUGUCAUAUACAAUAUCUUUCAAUCAAUUUAUAGUGUUUUCAGCACCUCAACAAAAGCACUAUAAUGCUACUGAAAAACAAUACAAAUCAAAUGAAAUCAAAACACAAUAGAAACCAUUUAAUAUGUAGUAUUCGGAUAUUUAGGAAUGUCACAGAAAUGAGACCAAUUAUAAGCCUAAAAAGUUGCUAUCAAAAUGGUCUACAAGCAAUGACAACCAAAAGAAACAAUAUGACUUAAUUUGUUUUCAAUUUAACAAAAAUAUUGUAAUGCUAUUGGAAAAUACUAUAAGUGAGCCAAAUGAAAUAAAAAAGACACUAAACAAUUUGAUAUACUAUACUUGGAUUCAAAUAUGUAUUUAUGAUAGUUUAAAAAUAAUCACCCAAAUGAGGAUAAAAAAUUAGCUUAUUACAAUGUUUUAGCCACAACGAUAAAAUCAUUGUAUAGCCUACUUAAAAACACUAUGUCUGAUCCAUCCACUUUGACUAAUGCUCUGAUCCAUAGGGUGUCUUCAUGAUCAGAACAAUACAAUUGGGUGGGUGUAGUGUGUGGGUAUUUUGGGCAUUAUUCGGAACAUCAUCUUGGCAAAACAAAAACAGUCGACACCUUUUGGGAAAAAAAAGCAAAAAGGAAGAUUUUGUUUUUGGGAAAUUGCUCAAUUACUAAUUCUAGUUUAUUAUCUUAUUUAAUAUAACCUAAUAUUUUCAUCCCUUAUUUUCAAUUUAAUAAGAGAACCCCCCAAAAAAAAAAAAUCCUUUUUUCAUAAACUAUGACAUGAUAUCACAGCUUGCUACUGUAAUUAACUCAUCAAAUUCUUGCAAAUAACCUCUACCAUUAAUUUGAAAAUAUAAUAUGUGCACUGCCCAUCCUACAAUGAUUCUUUAUCCCAAAGCUAUAAAAUCUUCCAUUGAGCCACCUUAUUUUCUUUGCAUUCACCUUGUAGAACUUUCCUUCUCCACAAACUUGUAUAACAUACCAGAUAAUAUCAUAAGCUUAUCUUAUAAUAAAAUUGACAUGUUUUGACAGUAGUCCUAUGUGGAAGGGGUCUCAAUGCUCCAAAAUGGAAUUUGAUUUAAUGUAAUCUUCUGGAAUAUUACGAGGAAUAUAUAUCAGGAUUCAAGAAAGCAUGGAAGGAAGCUGUUCGUGUACUAUGACAGACUCAAACAUUUCUUUGUUUUCUCCACUCAUUAUCGUCAUGCAGUUUGUUAUUAUUCACAAGCUUUUGCUUGGCCCAAUGGUUUUUCAAAAUUUAUCCAUUUCACCGGAGUUAAUUAAGAAUUAUCUUAUUAUAGAUGAAUUCUAUGAUUCCUUUAUGAUAUAUUCGAUGUUAUUUUCAGAGAAGAUCGGAGCCUCUAGUUCGUAAGAACCUAAGUGAUAAAUUGAAACAUGAUUACAAAACUUGGUGAAAAUAUAUUGAGUUCCUAUCAAGGAUGUCGAUCGAAGCCUCUCGUGCAGUUAGGGAAAUCUUAUAUGUUAUUAUGCCCCCGUAAGAUUAAGCUCCUAUCAAGGAUGCCAAUCUUGGACCGAUGUAAUGAAAAUAGUUUACGGACGAGAAGCUUCAUGAGUGAGUUUACUAGUUGAUCAGUGGUAUGUACGUGAGAAACACGUAGUUAAUGUCUAACCACUUGAUCUCGCACGAAGUGAAAGUCGAUGACAAUAUGUUUCAUGUGUUAGUGAAAUACUAGAUUGGCGCAUAGGUAGGUGGCUCUAACAUUAUCAUAAUAUAUUGUAAGAGUAAGAGUAGAGUUGAUGUCAAGUUCCUUGAGCAGAUUUGUGACCCAAUUGAGUUCUGCAGCAGCGGUAGCGAUGUCAUGGUAUUCAGCUUCAGUUGUAGACUAUACGAUUGUCUUUUGCUUCUUAGAACUUCAACUAAUUGGAUUAGCUCCAUGAAAGACAAUAUACCCCGACGUGGAUGUUCUAUUAUCAAAGUUUCCUACCCAAUCAGUAUCAACAGAUACAUGAAGAUGAAGUUGAGAGUGUUUGUGAAGAAAAAAGUCUAUGAUUGAGGGUCCCUUUAAGAUAUCGCAAGAUUCAUUUGACGACAGACCAAUGCAUAGUAGAUGGACGAUACAUGACUCGUGAUAAUUUAUUAACUAUAAAUGAGAUAUCUGAACGAGUGAAAGCUAAGUACUGUAAGGAGCCAAGUACUUGUCAAUAUAGAGUAUCGUUCGUAGCAGAGCUUUCAUCGUAUAAUUUGAGUGAUUCACUGGUAGAGAGGGGAGUUGCAACAUCUUUUGUGUCAUGCAUAUUCGUUUUUAAUAAUAAAUCUUAAAUAUACUUUCUUUGCGAUAGGAAGAGUUUUGACGAUGUAUAUAUUGCUUCCACUCCCAAAAAGUAGCUCAAGGUUCCUAGAUCUUUGAGGGAGAAUCGAUUUGCUAAUUGUUGGAGGAAUGUCUUGAUCUCCAUAAGAUUAUUGUCCAUGACAAUAAUGUCAUCAGCAUACACCAAAAGAUAUAUAGUGCCUCCAUUUUGUUGUCGUAAAAAUAAUGAGGUAUUAGACUUGGAGUUGAUGAAGCUAGUUGAUGUCAAAAAUGAGCCAAGUUCGGUGUAUCAGACUCUUGGAGCUUGUCGAAGUCCAUAAGUAGCUUUGUGUAGUUUACAAAUAUAUCUUGGAUACUGAGGAUGGAUGAAGCUAGAAGGUUGUUGCAUAAAGAUGUCUUCAGUUAGAGUCUUUUGUAACGAAGCAUUGUUAAUAUCCAAUUGUCGUAAGUGUUAACUUUUUGUGAUGGUCAAAUUCAGGAUAAGUCGGAUAGUUGUGGGUUUAACAACGAGACUAAAUGUCUUUGUGAAGUCAACACCAGGUCAUUGACUAAAUGUCUCUUUGGCCACUAAACGUGCUUUAUAUCUAGUAACAGAUCCAUCUGAGUUACGCUUAAUUCGAAAGACCCACUUACACCCAAUGAUAUUUUGUGUGUGAUGAAAGGGUACAAAGGUCCAUAUAGAGUUAUGGAGGAGGGGAUCAUAUUCUUCACACAUGGCUUUACGCCAAUGUGGAGAUUUUUGGGCUUGAGUGAUUGUGGUGGGUUUAAUGAACUUAAGAGGCGAUUUUGUGAUAGCAUGAAGGUCAAGGAGGUGAUGCGGUUUGAAAAUAUCACUUUUGGAGCGUGUUGUCAUUGGAUGCCCAUGGGUUGUGGGAUUGUUAGGUUCGGUUGUAGGUAUAAGUGGAGGGGAGUUAGUGACACAGGCUUGGUCAGGUUGAGGUACUUGAGUGUUAUUGGGUCCAGGAGAAGGUAAAGAUAGUGGUUGUAUUUUUUAGGACAUUGCUUCAUCAAAUAAGGUGAACUUGUAAAGAAGGGAAUGAAGAAAUAGUGGAGGGAGUGAGGAGCUACUGAAUUGGAGUAACAAUAGAGUGUGGAUCCUAAGGGGAAGGACUGAACGAUGUUGUGAGAGGCUUAUUUGACGGGAUCAGAGGUAUACUCUAGUGAUGUAUGUUUAUUGGAGUGGCUCGGGGACUCAUGGUUUUAAAAAAGAAAGGUAGACUCCACAAAAAUAAUGUGACGUGAUAUAAAAACUUUUUGAACUUGAGGGUCAUAGCAUCAGAAAACAUUAUGUUUAAGAGAGUAUCAUAUGAAAAUACAAGGCUUAAAUCUUGGUGUUAUCUUAUGUGAGACAAAGGGACAUAGCCGUGGAUAACAUAGAUAACCAAAUACUUUUGAGUUUCUUAGAAGUUUGUGAAAUAGUUUUUUCAAAUGAUGACUGAUAUUGUAGGACUAGAGUGAGUAUACGAUUAAUAAGAUAGACUGUAGUUUGAAAUAUUGUUGACCAAAAGAUUGAUGGCAUAGAGGCUUGAUGUAGAAGUGUAAGACCAGUUUCAACUAUAUGACGAUGUUUGCAUUCGGUAGAGCCAACUAGUUAAGGAGUAUGUGUGGGUGACUUGAGGUGUUUAUACCACUAGCUGAAAGGUAGGAUAUGAGGGCUUAAUAUUCACCUCCGUCAUCAGAGUAAAUUAUUUUAAUUAUAGAUUGAAAUAAGUUCUCCACCAACUUUCUAAAGUCGGUAAAGAUUAUUGAAACUUUAGAUUUAUGAUGGAGAGGAUAUAACCAUGUAUACUUAGCAAAAUAGUCUACGAAAAUGACAAGAUCUAAACUUAUCAAAAUAAGUGGUUGGGGUAGGGCCUCAAACAUCGGUAUAAAUAAUUUCAAACGGUUUAGAGUAAGAUAUAAAUGAUGUUCUAAAAAAUAGUUUAUAACUUUUAGUGCUAAGACAAGCAUCACAAUGAAUUAUAAUGCUACUUGUUUUAAAAGUAGAAAGAGAAUAACGAAAAAAUAAUUUAUGUUGGAUAGAGGAUGAGAGAUGAUCAAGACGACGAUGUCAUACAUCAAUUGGAGCUACAACUCAAAAAGUAAACAGUGGGCUGGGUUAUUUGUGGAGCUAACAACCACUCGUAAAUGUUAUCUUUAUUCUAGCAUUAAAUCAAGGAUGCCCCAUGCUCAAAUCCUUGAGAAGAAAAGAGUUAGGAAAGAAUUCAAUUGAAGUAUUAUUUUGUUUGCAGAAUUGAGAAACAAAAAUUAGAUUUCUUUUAAUCGAUAUACACAUAGAACAUCAUCGAGUGUAAAAGUUAUAGUAUGUGAAUUAAGCAUUGUGGAACCAGUAUGAGUAAUGAGGAUUAAUUUAUCGUCACUGAUGAUGAUGUCUUCAUUUCCGCCAUAGUUGUUGUGGAUGGACAAAUUCUAUAGAUAAGAGGUGAUAUGAUGAGAGGCGCCAGAGUCCAUAAUCCAAUUAUGUUGACUAAUAGUCGGAGUAGUUAUGAGAUUCGCUUGAGGCCAAUUUGAUGAAGCAGGAACUUUGGGUCGAGAUCGAUAAACUUUUGUGGAGUGUCCAACUUUAUCACACAAUUGGCAAACGACUCUUUGUUAGUUUGUGUGGUCAGGACACUAGGGUUGAUGAUUAUUGAAGUUGCCACAUUGAUAGUUAUUAAAGUUGUGAUUAAAAUGUUGAUAAUGUGGAUGAGGGGAGGUUUGUUUGGCACCCAUAGGUUCAAGAGGCAUCUUGGCUAAACCUUUGUUGAUGUUCUUGUUAUACCGAUUGCUUUUCCUCUUGAAUUUUUGACUGACUUCAGUUGUGAUGUUUGGUUCUGGCAACCCAUCAUCGUACUUUAAAUAUGUCUCAUAGUCAGUCAAUUUGUCAUAGAGUUCUUCGAAUGAUAUCGGUGAGUCACUGCCUAAAUUGUUGUUACUAGUUCCUUGUACUUAUCUCCUAGGCCCUUGUGGGUGUGGACUAUUACUUCUUUGUCACUGACGGAAUGACAUAUCAAAGCUAAGUCAUCGGUGAUAACUUAUGUAUUUUAUAGAUAAUCAACAAUAGUACUUCCCUCUUGUUUUAUUUUUAUUUUAUUUUUAUUAGACUAGAUAUGAGACUAAGCAUGCGAGUACGCAAGCGACUUGUUAAGAUGAUUUGCAACUUGUACCAUGCUUCUGCAAUAAUAUCAUAUGAAGAUAUGAGUGGGCUGAUGGAUCCAACAACCGAGGCUUGAAUUGCUUGGAGGAUGAGAUGAUCUUGGCAUAACCACAGUUUGUGGGUCGGAUUUGGUACUGGACUAGGUUUUCCUGUGAUGUUGAUCAUCACUGGUGGACAAUUGAGAGAGUCGUCAAUGUAGCCUAGUAGAUCAUAUCCAAAUAGGAGAUUAAAAAAUUGUGUACAUGAAGAUGCGUAGUUACCGCCUUUGGAUAAUUUGAUGGGGAUUAUAAUUGUAGCAUUGACGGAGAUAAGACUUGUACGUUGAAAAGUAUUAUGGUUUCUUGCGGGGACAUUAAUUGGAGCAUUAGAGAUUAAUUGGAGCAUUAGAGAUAGGCGAUGAAGACAUUCUGAGGAUAAGUACCGAUCUGAGGAAUCUAAGUUGAGAGUCUGCGGCAGAUCAGCAGGGAGUCGCUUCUUGGGCAGGUGGUGGCAUUGGUGAUGAUCAGUCUCGAUUGCCUCUUGAACUAAGCAAUAUUGCAAUCCCCAGAUGAGAAGAAGCAAUAGUAGAUCUCAACAGACCUUAGCAGAGAUCUAUUGGUGGAGGAAGAAUUGACAAGUUUAUGCUACGACUACAGAUCUGUGAGAGAUCUGCAGUUCUUAUCGUAGAUCGGUGAGAGAACUGUAGUUUGUGUCAUAGAUCUAUGUUGCGGCUGCAACUUCUGUGAGUCACAAGGAGGGAGAGUGCUAGGGUGCGAUGGGGCGAAGAGCAUGACGUGGCUGGAGAGGCAGGGCGACGUUUCUUCCUCCUUUCCGCUUCUCUGUUCCAUGGCGACGAGGGCAUGAUAGCACUGUAAGUAGUAGUGUAUUGUAAGUUCACAAGCUCACUAUGAACAGCGGCAUCUUCGAGUGAGAAAUCGACCACAGUAAGGAGAAGUUAUGCUUUUGCAGGAACGACGAUGGGAUGUUAGGGGUAGAUGAGCGAUUGGAGUAGAAGACGGAGGCGCCGCAAAAGCAAUUAAGGUUCUUCGUCGGGAGGUGGCAGGACUCGAUGAGGAGCGAUUGCUAUCGUCGGAUAGCGAGAAGAGAGCUUGGUCUAAGCAAGAAGCUCUGAUAUCAUGAUAAAUUGGAACGUGAUUACAAAACUUGAUAAAAGUUUAUUGACAUGAUUACUAUUUAUACAUGUUAACGAGAUAUCUUCGUGCAGAUCAAUGAGAUUUCUUCGUGCUGGGAAAAUCUUAUAUGUUAUCACUAAGAGUGGAUUUUAUUCAAGAUUAGCCAGAUAUAGAUCUUCCUUUCUUACUCUCAUUUCUAGCCAAUGGAGAUCAAGAACUGAAUUAACGAAGAACAGAAUAAAUGUAAUAUAAAGAUUACAAGCAUACAACUGAGUAAAUUUAAAAUACAGAUUAGAUGCAAGCAAGUGGUGUGAUUCAUGAAAGAGGAAACAGAACUCAGCAAAUGGAAUAAGGUGACCAACAGAAAACCAAGAAGUUUUCGGCUUCAAGAAUCAUUAAACCAAGAAAUCAAGAAUAGAGAUUGAAGCAUUUAGUAAAGAAAAUUCAGAAUUAUUCCUUUUUUGAGCAAUCUGGAAAGCAGAAACCAGUGACAUCUGAUCCAAGAAUGUGUUUCGUCUUUUACCUGGAAAUCGAUCUGUGAUGCCUCUGAAGAGGAUCUCGAUCAAGAAGCAGGGAUCUCCCGCUCUGCUGUCGGAAAGGCUUCCUUUCCAACGUGCCGAGAUGGGAAAGAAAAUCUUACCGACGCCACGAUCCUGGAGGACGGCCGGGCUGCUUGACGCAGUGGUGAUGACCCUAGUUGUUGAGUACUGCUUCGAGGAGUGGCCGCAGGACGAUCCAUCCAGUCCCCCGCCGCCGUCGCUGCUGCAUUUGCCGCUGCCAUCCCCGGCUGCGGACGCGGAGACCGCAAUCUUCGGCCCUUUCUGAAGCUGCGUACGCAUAGGGAUGCAAAAGGAAGUCGGUGCGGAAUGGUCCGGUUCGCUUGCUUAGAGUUUUGAGUUUUGGUUCGAUCCCCGCGGUUCGUCUUGGAGCUCGACAUCUCCGGCCGGAAAGCCGACCGGAGCGCGGAGUAUGAGGUCGGAGGCAGCCAGCUGAUGACCAUGCCGGAGACAAUGAACGUUCCGUGUUUGGAGAACACAGUGGAUGUAGUAAGACGUGGAAGACUCUGCCGCCGACGGUUCCAGCUAUCAAGUCGAGGUAGUAAGAUGUGGGGUAGCCGUCGCGGCCGAACGUCAAGUAGCCCGCGGAGCUCGAUUUCGACAGCAGGCAGUAGGCGAAGACUCCGCCGCACUUUCCGUCGGCCUGCAUGACCAGCGACGUCCUGUCGCGGCCGAGGCCGAGGCCCAGCAGCCCCGCAAGCUUCCCGAAGAAUCCGCGGUUCCUCUGGCCGCACCCCAAAGGAAAAUUGGGAAUUACGUCGGCGGAGGUUAGCGUGAGCUUGUCCUGGGCGAAGAAGCCGAUGGUGUAGUACUUGUGGCCGUACUGCCCCCCGUAGAGGCAGGUGGACGAGCUGCAACCGGAGACGUCGAGGUCGGAACAGUAGCGGAGCUGCAUGAGAUGCCGGAGUACGUAGACGAGCGAGUGGGCGUCGAAGAUAGGCUUUUGCUGCCGGUGGCAGUAGGAGGCGCAUGGCCGACACUGGAUCCAGGUGAUGACCUCCUGCUUCAUUCAUAAAUAAUUAUUUCUUAUUCGAAUCAUAUUCGAUUCAGAAUAAUAAUUAAUUUAUUAAUUUUAUUGAAGUUCAAUCAUUAGUGCAAAAUCUUUAAAUCCAAAUUAACCACUUUACUAUUGUAGACUUGUUAAAUCAGGUGUGUUACGAUAUUAGAUUUCAUAUGUUAUAAUUGGAUGUGUCAAAUAUUAGAUUCCAUAUGUUAUAAAAGGAUGUAUUAAUUUUCUGAAUCUAAAAUGAUAUGAUCUAAUAUAUUUAAUUUGAAAUUAAUAAGAUAUCCAUCUAAUAUUUAUAAACUGAUUUAAAUCGGGGAUGUAAGAUUAAAUAGAGGUGUUACACUAAAACAAAUCUGGCCGACGCUACGGUGAUGGUGGUGGUGGUGGAAGGGGGCGGGGGGUGUAGUUGUUGAGGACUGCUUCGUGGAUGGUAUACCGGUGUCGCCGCCGCCUGCCUUCGCCGCCGCCGUUCCAUGCUGCGUCUGAAGCUGUGUACGAAUCGGAACGCACGAGGGAGGCGACGGUCCGGUUCGUUCGCUUAGGGUUUUGCGGUUUUGGUUCGAUUCCAAUGGCUCGCUAAGACCGGUUCGGAAGCUAUUAGCUCUCUCUCUCAUUCCUAACUUCGGCUAAUUAAGACCGGUUCGGAACCGAACCGGAGUGGAACGAAGACCCGGCAAUUAAAGCCGACAGUUCCUCGUCAGGCCUCGAGGCAAAGGCGACGCCGCUGCGGCUCUCCCCCGAGCUUGGCCGCUCCUCCGUGUAGGGCAAACGAUCUCCUUUGCACCGCUUCGAAACCUCAAGCUGGAGUCUUAUCUCCCUCUUUUGAAGAGGUUUCUUCUUGGUCCACUUUGUUACCUUUCUGUGCUUUUUAUUUUCACAGACUGAAUUUAGUUUUGCGACGUUUUGAUCUUCUCAUUCGAACAUGCUGUGUUUUGCUGUAUCAAGUCGACAAUUUUCUGCCGAAUCGAUAUUGUAAGGCCGCGCUCAAUCUUGACUCUGAUAGUAAUAAGCUUCUGUGUACUCCGGAUGCUGGUUGAUUGAGGAAUAACGAAUAAACGAUCCGUGGCGAGUGCUAUCAGCUCUUUUGGGAUUCAAAAUUGAUUGGUACAGUAUAAAUCAUCAGAACAUUUCUGCUUUGUUGGAUAUGAUUCUGAUAAAAUGAUUGUAUAGGCUUGUUCAUGGAGGUCAUUAAAAGCUGGAAUUUUGAUGGCAGAGGGGUUGAAGGAUUUAGGUUCCUACGGCUUCAAUCACGUCAGUCUGCGAAAAUAAAUAGGAUUGGAAAAUGCUAGAGACGUAAUUAACUUUCUUUUAAUUACUUUGGAUCCGUGGAGAUAACAAUGUCUUUCAGAGAAGUGAGAUAAAACAAGUUGUCAAAGGAUCAGUGAUUUUUCCUUUGAUUACGUGAUUGGUGUAUGACUAUGUGUCAAACGUUAGCUGCCUUUAGUUUCACCUAAUGUUCUUUUGCAAAUUACAUGUGCCCAUCUUCAACGUAAAUGACGAUGUUAACAUUAAUGGGUUAUCAAUUGUUCUAAAAUUGUUCCUACACUCAUUUUCAAACUAUGUAACCAUCCAUAAAUUUCUUAGUGUCUUAUUCCUUGAUAUCGCAUCUUGUAACUUGUGGGUGACCUGGACAUUUGUCAAAUUGAAUAUGGGCAUAUAUAGGUCUGUCUUUGAUUUAGAAUCUAUUAGCCUUCCCUUUUCAUGAUCAUAUUUGGGGUUAGAGAUAUCGGUUAUUAGACUUUUUGUUGAUUUAAUGGUGGUUUGGUAUGUUUCUAUUGGAGCAUCUAAGUACACGUAUGUGCAUGGAUUUCAUUUAGAAUUUUCUCUAACAUCAUUUUCUCCUAGGAUACUCGUUUUUAGUUCCUUUGAUUACAGAGAAAUGCUUUGGUCUAGAACUCACAGGAGGACAUCUGUAGUUUCCAUAUGACCAUAUUCAAGCAUUCGUCCGGCAUCUUGUUUGUUUAAAAUGAGAUCACUGCUGUCAUAAGUAUAUGCUUCUUUUAUUAAAUUUUUGCACAAAAGCAUGUUCUCUUUAAUAUUAACUGCCUCUAAAAGAUGGCUGUCAAUUGGAGCCUCUUAUAGUUUUCCAUGUGUGUCUAUUAUAUUUGCCUUUUGUAUUACUCAUUGAAUUUCAUGAUCAUAAUCCUUAGGAACUUUUGACUGAAAGUUGUCAUGUUUACUGGUUUCUUCUGGUAUUAUCUUUUCAAGCAUGUUUUGGAGUACUGGGUCGUUUGGUGUAUUUUAUCUGGAAUUACUUUGUCUGUGUUCGACAUGUUUUCUGUGUUGUUACAUGUAGGUGCUGCAAAUUCUUGGGUUGUUUAACUCUCAUCACCAUUUUCUAGAAUAAUUUAGGUUUGCUUACUAAGAGCUACGUUGCCAUUCUGGAUAGGAUUUUGGAGAUGCGUUGCUGUCAAAUCAAAGUGAUUAUUGACUCACCUGAAUGUCUGUAAUUCUAGAAAAUUCUUUGAAAUGCCUUGAAAGAUGCACAUCAUUGAGAUCACUGCAGCAAGUACAUGCUCAAAUAUUCCUCAAUGGGUUUAAUCGUGAUAAUUAUGUGGCAGUCAAGCUGAUAACCUUUUGCAAUAAAAAAUUGGGCGAGAGAGGUUAUGCUCGCAUGAUAUUCAACAGCCUUAUUACUUCUGCAAAUGUUUUCCUUUGGACAGCAAUUAUCACAUCUUACUCGAGCUAUCAAUCAGAGGUAACCAGAGAAGCAAUUAUAAUAUACAGAAUGAUGCAUCAAAAGGGAUCUCAUCCAAAUCAUUUUACACUGUCCUCUGUGCUCAGAGCAUGCUCAUUUUUGAAGGCCAUACAAGAAGGCAAUCAAAUUCAUGGUCAUUCUACUAAACUUGGAUUUAAUUCCUCCAUUUAUGUCCAAGCAACAUUAGUGGACUUGUACACAAAGUUUGGUUGGACCCAAGAAGCUUCACGACUGUUAGGGACUUUCCCUGAAUAUAACAUUGUGUCGUAUAACACGGUGAUCACAAGCUAUAUUAAGGCUGAUAAUAUGAAAGCUGCACGAGACCUUUUUGAUGAGAUGGCUGACAGGGAUUUGGUCUCGUGGAAUCUUAUGAUAUCUGGCUAUGCAAGUCGUGGAGAUACACCAAGUUCUAGAGAACUCUUUGAUCAGAUGCCAGAAAGAGAGAUUAGUUCCUGGAAUGCACUAGUUGCUGGGUACUGCUGUAAUGGAGAAUGGGAUGAAGCUAUACAACUUUUCAAGGAAAUGUGCUUAGCAACUGUAAAACCUAACCAUAUCAGCAUGGCCAUAUUGAUGUCUGCUUGUGGACAUUUAGGAACAUUAGAAAUUGCAAGACAACUGCAUGGAUUCUUGGAGAAAAGUUGUAUUGAAAUGAACUGCUAUGUGUUCAAUUCAUUGGUUGACAUGUAUGCUAAAUGUGGCAACGUAUAUGAGGCUUUUCGGGUGUUCUCUGAGAUCCCAAUCAAGGAUGUGGUGUCAUACAACAUAAUUAUCCUAGGAUUAGCCAGUCAUGGGCUUGGGGAAGAUGCCAUAAAGUCUUUCUCUGAAAUGCUAGAUGCAGGGAUCCAACCGGACACAAUCACCUUCCUGGGCAUCUUAAGUGCAUGCAGCCAUGCUGGACUCAUCGAAAUUGGGCAUAGAUACUUUGAAUGCAUGAGCAGAGAUUAUGCAAUUGAGCCAUCUGCUGACCACUAUGCUUGCAUGGUUGAUCUAUAUGGUCGAGCAGGACUAGUUGAAGAUGCAUAUGACUUGGUAAAGCGUAUGUCAAUUAAACCACAUGCAGGUGUUUGGGGAGCCUUGCUGAAUGCAUGCAGGAUACAUAGUAACAUAGAUGUUGGAAGAGUUGCAGCUCAGGAACUAUUUCGGAUUGAGCCGGUAAAUCCUGGUAAUUAUGUCAUUCUAUCUAAUCUGUUUGCUAGAGCCCAUUUGUGGGAUAGGGUUGCUGAGAUCAGGCGCUUGAUGAGAGGGAAAGUGCCCAAAACAGCAGGCUGCAGCUGGAUUGAGGUUAAUGGUCAAGUUAAUGAGUUCUUGAUAGGAGAUGCAACACAUCCACACAGCAAGAGCAUCCAUGCUGUAUUGCGGCAUCUGUCUUUGCAGCUGGUAUAGGUAAUAUCAGCUUGAUCCCAAUGUUGAGUUAUACAUUUUGAUGAAGGUUGGGUACUCUGGUCAAUCAGUCACGAGAAUGCAGCUGGGUAUAAACUUCUAGGAGAUGGACAAAGUUUUACAUGGUUCAGAGUCAUCUUGACGAUGGUUGACUUGGAUGAUAUCUUUGUUACAGGACUUCCUGCCACCAAUUGCUCCCAUUACAAUACCUUCACUUAAUGAGCUCCUGAGGAAAACAUUGGUAAUGCAUGAUUAAGAGAAGGGAAUCUUCUUGAGCCGCACCUUCUUUAUCAAUACUUGUGGAAGGAUCAUUGACAUCUAGAGCUGUUCUGCAAAUCGAUGGGAUCAGCAAGAAUUGGUAAGUAGCCUGAGGAUGACUUGACGUGGAUUAUUCAUGGUUAGGGGGUAAUGGAAUCAAUCUUCUUGAGUUGCAUGUUCUCUGUUCAACAGUUGGGGGAAGGAUCACCAGCUCUUGGAGCUGUUUUGUGCAGUAAUGGGUCAUGGUAUCAGCAUCAGAAAGGAUGGCUGAGGAGAUGGAUGGCAAGGGAACUUUAUGGGCAAGUCAUGCGGGAUUCUUCCCUUCACAGAGAGAGAGAGAGAGACAGAUGAACCCCCAGGAGUUUGUCACCUUGUGACAGGGGAAUAUAUCACUGUCUUGUUGAUAAGAAGAGGAUUUUGGUGCAAGGAAGCGGAUAGCUGUAAUGGCAAUGAGUGGCUGCUCAAUGGCACCCUGAUUUCUUUUUGCCUUCAAGGAAUUUUUUGCAUAUUUUUUUUUCAAAGAUUAUAAAUGCAGUAUUUGACCUUGUAAAUUUUGUUAUCUUAACAUGUAUCUCUCCCAUUAACACUCAUUGAGAAAAACUCAAUCUUAAUGUGACAGAACUGCAGUCAACAUUAGCUCCACUGAGUUGAGAAAUAUUAAAAUGCCUAAGAUGUUCUUAAUAUUUAUGUUUAUCAUAAUAAAUGUAAGAGAAUACUAAUGCCGUUGGAAGUUCGAAUUAGUUAACGACGAAGAUUAAUCAUAAUGAUAUAUAAGUUUUUAGUUGUUGUGCUGAUGCAUAUGCUAAGCAUAAAUUUAUAAAAACAAAUGCCAAAGUCACUCUUUUUCUAAGUUUUCUCAUUUUUACUCUUUCUCUGUACAACAGUUCUCAAUUUAUUUCUGACUAUAUACAUAAUGUUUGUAAUGAUCAUAUAAUAGAAAUAACUUAAUUAGCAAAGAUUUUGAUAAUUUAUUCUAAGGUUGUUUGAAUCAUAUUUUUCACUACUUAUUCUUUGAAAAAAAUUAUUGUCUAAUUCUUUUUAACAUAAUAGAUAUUGUAAUCCAAGUUCCAAAAAAAAAUCAUAUAUUAGUCAAAGAAAUAAAGAAAAUUCAUUUUGGAUACAUAAAUAAUGCAGGAGAUGCAUUUUAGAAAAAAAAAAAAAGAAACAUCAAGAAUUUUUUAAAAAUUAGAAAUUUUUUAUAAAAAUUCUGAAACAUUUUUUUUAUAAAAAAUAUUUUAGUUGUGCAUUAGAUAAAUCCACAAAGGAACCCUCAAAAGACAUCUUGUUCAUCAUAAUUAAUGGAGAUAAAUCAUGAGAAAUAAUGUCACACAUAAGUCUCAGAUUGUGCGUGCAAAAAGAGGUUCUCUUAUUUAAUUAGUAAUUCUUUUUUUUUCCCUUAGGGUUAAAAAUGAUCUGAAGCACACUUCAUGAUGAUGAUGAUGAUGAUGAUGAUGAUGCAUGCAUGCAUGCAUAUGUGGCCUUGCAGUGAGAAGAAGCGUUCAUCACAUAUCUUAAGUAAUGGGAAGCUGCAUGGUCUUGGUUCAUGUUUUCUUGGAUACCCCAAAAUGGUUUGACUUUGCUGGUUCUGCAAGCAGCGUUAGGUGAGGAGAAAGGCAGAGAGCAACAUGGCGGAAGCCAUUAAAGACAGAAGCAGACAAGGAGUGAGAGGAACAGGUUGAAGAAAGGCGAGGGCAGAACAUAAACCCUAAUAAUUACAGUACAUGGGGACAACAAUCAAUCGCGUGUCACCUCUCCCUGUCUACAUUGUACCGAGCGUGUGGGCUGCUUGUAUUAUAUAUAUAUAUAUAUAUAUAUACAUAUAUUGAUAAGUUUCUUUUAUCUUCAGCAUUUAAUAUAUAUAUAUAUGUCAUGUUAUGAUAAUAAAGCUUUCAAACGAGAGAGUAGGACAGCCUCCAAAGAACCCUAGGAGAGCACCUUGAUCCAAUGUGAGGAAGUAAAAAUACUUGCAUAUACACAUUUCUCUUUAAUCUUAUCUUUUUUUUUUGUUGCAAACAAUUUUAGCCCUUAUAUUGACUUAAAUUUGAAAUCAGUUUUUGCAAAUAAUGUCUUUAAUUAUUCUUCAAUCCUAAUAUUUUAGCACUUGUGCCUUUGAAAAUCUCAUAUCAGUGCACUCCGGUUUCUGAACAUAUGAUGAUUUGGAUCCCUGAAAUAUGUAGAUUAAGCAAAAGUUUGUGUGUGAGGGUGUGUUGUUUAACUUUCCUAUGGCCUCUGGAGCUUAGAAGGUAGCAGUAGAGAACUCUAAGAAGAAGUUGGAAGUCGGAGAAUGCUUAUGCCAUUUAGCUCAUCUCUUUCUUCUAUCCAUUCCAUCAGACAUGUAACCUGUGACCAGUUACUGCUGCAACUCACUUCGGCAGGCCUAAAGAUCUCUGCACUAGUGAGGUCGGAGCUUCAUUUGUUGGAAGGGAUUGCUAUGUUAGAGAUUGGAGAUGAGAGUGACAGAACCAACAAGUGGGCUUCUUUUUGCGUAUGCAUCGGUGUUUCUCUUUUCAUUGAGCUAAUUACUCUCAGGGCUUUUCAUAAUAGGGUGUCAUCCUUUGGUCCCCAUGUGUUCUUGAGUGUGUUGCCUUUUCCUGCCUUGAACUCCACUCAAGACUUCUUCCUCAACCUCUCUCUUUUUCUCUCUCUCACAUUCCAAAGUUAUUAUAUAUUUUGUUUGGCGAACACACUGCUUUACUGAUCCAAGGUUUCAUGUUGGGUGGGGGCAGUGGUGCAUGGAGCCGAGUAAAGGAAUGGACGCUGGAAGAAGUAAGGUGAGGAAGGACAGGUUAUAUUUUAUGGAGAGAGAGAGAGAGAGAGAGAGAGAGAGAGAGAGAGAGAGAGAGAGAUAGGGAGGGAGAUCCGAAGAUAGAGAAAAAGGUGGACUUUUAAGCAUGUCAAAUCAGUGCACCCAAAGAGAGGUAAAAUUCAACAAAGAAGAACAAGUUAUAUUUGUUUGGUUGUUUGAUGGGGGCAUUGUGAUCCCCCUCAGGGCUCUUUUUCCAUGCCAUUUCGCGUUGGCAUGUUCUGCAGCUGCCUGUUCCCAUUAACUUCUCCUUUUCCCUUCUCCUGAUGCAGUUCGGGGCAGAGGGAUGAGCUGCAGAUUCUCUUUCUGUUUUGGGAUGAGAGCUCUUCAGUUUCCACCAGUAAGAUCUGCUCCACUUCUUUAUGCUGGCUGGUUGUAACACAAAGGAAAAGGUCUCCUCCUCUUCCUAAUCUCCUCCUCUCUAAUAACUACAUGGAUAUAUAGAUUCAAAGAGAUUUUUUCCUCCUCCUUCUUCUUCCUGGCCAUGGUCUUCAGGUGAGCGAAAAGAUGGGGAAGAAAAAGAUUUUGGAGGCUGUUGUUGCUGUGGGUGAGGAGUCAGAAGUUGCGUGCAUGUCCUAAGCAUGGUGGCAAGUUAGGCAUGUUAAUGAGUGUUAUGAUCAAAGGGAUCUCUUCAUGAUGAGGGGCAGAUGUUGGUGGAUUGCCUUAUCUGGGGCUGUGGCUCUGAAACAUUCCAUCCAUUUUGUCAAAUGGCCUCUCUCUCUCUCUCUCUCUCUCUCUCUCUCUCUCUUCUUUCUUCNNNNNNNNNNNNNNNNNNNNAGAGAGAGAGAGAGAGAGAGAGAGAGAGAGAGAGAGAGAGAGAGGUAAGGAUUUGAGAAGAAAGGGUGUGGGUUUGACAGGCGAAGCAUUGUAGUAUUCCUGCGGUAUCAGAAAAUUCACCGUGUUAUGAUGUUUUUAGUAAUUUAAAAAAAUAAUAUUAUAAUGCGACAUAUUAUUUUUAUAUAAAUUUUCAAAGAAUAUCAUAUUUAUAAUUAUUGUCAAUAAUACUAAAAAAAUAUAAUAUGAUAUUUUUAUAUUAUGUUAUAGUAUUUUUAUAACGUAAUACUAAAAUAUUAUUAUAUAAUAUUUAACAUUUUUAUAUUGUAUUUUUAAUAUUACUGAAAUAUUAUAAUUAUAUCAAUUCAUCAUAUAAUCAAUCUAUUGAUAAUAGUAAAAAGAGAUAAAUGGUUGGGUGUAUUAGUUAAAAAAUUUAUUAUAAAAAAAUUUAAAAAAUGAGGGAUAUUUGCGAAGAUAGAUUUUUUUUUUGUUGUUGAAAAUUCGUCCCAUCUUUAUUUGCUAUGAAUCAGAAAAUAAAUAGAUAAAUAAAUAAAGAUGACCUGUCGUCGGGGUGGGUGAUGAGAGAGAGGUCUCUCUCCUCUGGGGAUUGUGUGUGUGUUAAGACAUACUUCCCACGCUCCAUCGGGCACGUGGGAGACGACGAUGUGACGUUGACGAGUCGCACACGUGUGCAAUGUGGCAGGAGACACAGCACGCGCUGUUGCGUCUCCCUUCGCUGCUUCAGGGAGCGCAGCAGCGCUGCUGCAUUCAGUGGUCCGACCGCGUGGCCUCGUCGCGUCUCCUGUUAUUAUUCCACGUCCAACACCCAACUCUGAGAGGAAGGAGUUAUUGCAUCCCCUACUUCCUUCUCUUUCCUUCUACAUAAAUGUAUUUGUUGGUGUUGAUGGAUGAUAGUUAGCAUAAAUAUUUUUAAUAUUAAUAAUAAAUUAUGAGAUCCAAUCUUACAUGACAUUCAUUAUAGGAUGACAUAAUUGAUAUAUUAGCUUCAUUAAAUGAUAUUAAUUUUGUUAACUCUAAAUUUGACUUCAAAUAUUACACUAAAAUCAGUAAUAAUUCACCUGACAGACAUUCAUAAGUCAAUUUUAAUACCAAUUCCAUGAGACAAAACUGGUAUAUAUAUAUAUAUAUAUAAACUGAGCAGAAAUUGAAAACACCACUCAAACUUCAACCCUGACAGCAGAACUGAGACAUAUAGAAAAUGCCCAGUGAAAAAUCUGCACGUAUGAUUUCCAAUUCCGAACUAUUAUACAUUCAGAUCAUGCCAUGAGAGCUCAGUUUGAUCUUUUAGGGUCUUCAAAUACAACAUGAAGGAGAAGGAUUGUUAUUCUUAGUUCUCAUAAACAUAUUACACAUCUCAGUUUGGAUUCGAGGUGGGGGUGCUGUCAACCCAUAGCAUACUUCUGCGUCCAUGCUCGAGCUGUCUCUUCGUAUUGAGACCUCUGCAUCUUGUACGUGUGGGCGAUCUCAGGGACGAGAGGAUCGUCAGGAUUGGGGUCUGUAAGAAGGGAGGAGAUGGAGAGGAGGACCUUUGAUAUCGUCAGUGCAGGGCUCCACUGCUCCUUGAGGAUGUCGAGGCAGAUGCUUCCGUUCGAGUUGAUAUUGGGGUGAUAAACCUACAAUGAUUGACAUCCAGAAUUAAUAAAGUGCUUUUUUUUUGGCAUCAGCAAACUUGUUUCAGCUUUAAAGUUAUAGAUUUCACAGGCAAUCAAUUGAUCCAAAGCAAAAUCUAACAAGCGUACGAUGACCAUGUGGUUCAAAUUCCUCUGAUACUUUAAUCUCAAAGGUAUAAGAUAAUUUGAUACAAUGGCGCAGCUAGCAAGAUAUACCAAACCAAAAACAGAUAAUUUGAUCAUUGAUUUAUUAAGAACUAUUUAUAUUUUUUCCUGUUGAGCAUCCAAAUGCCCAAUAACACGGCAAAAAACCUUCUAGCUAACUGAGAAUAUGUAGAUCUCAGAAAGGAGAAGAAAGAAAAAGAAACCACUACAUACUCCUACUUGAUAUUAGGUCAACCAGAAUGCCGGUUCCGUUUCGAUGUACCAAUAGAGAUAUGCACAAUCAAGGCCCAUGAAUGAAGCACCCAAAAAUUUCUGGUUUAACCAAUAAAUACAAACUUCUAAACAAACAAGAUCUUAAAAUUACUCAUUGUUAGAAAGUGUGCCUCUUAAUGUUGUUCCACAAAUAUCCACCAUAAGAAUUCGAUACAUUGAGAAAUUAAAAGCAGGAUCAUAACAUGAAAACACAUAAAAUGACUAAUGCAAGCAUUACGUCUCUACAGCUAGCUACUUAUUAAUGUCAACAAAGUACAAUAUUAACAUUCCUCUUUCAGCAGCAGACAGCAAAUGCUGCUUUUAUCUAUAGAUUAUUCUACAAUGCUCUAGUUUCUGUAACCAUACAGGUGAGUUUCAAGGAACUUGAGUAUGAAAAAUGGUUUUUAAUCAGAAUUGAAUUCAAUGCAAGCGCUCCAAGUAACUAAAAUAAGCAUGUAAAAUUCCAUGUGAAGAAAUGUUAGAAAGGUUAAGGACUUCGAUUUUAUGAUUUAUGAGUUGAAAGCAUGACAUAGUUAGAAAUACUUGUUAAAAGCAAAUGCAGACAUUUAUGCAUAUCACAUAGCAAUUGUAGAGGUGAAAGACAUUGAAACCUUCUAGCAAACAAUUGACGAUAUCUCUAAACAAAUUAAGUUCUUUGCAAGACAAAUUAGGUGCCAAUCUGCUGCAAUUGAGCACCAAAGCAAUCAAAAUAACAGCAAUCUCAAUUGCUAGGGUCAAAUAUCCUCUUAGUUUAUGUGAUAACAAGAACCAGUCAUUAUACCUGCAUACACAUUUCUAGCACAGAUCAUGCAACAAAAAGUGUUGCAGGCAAGAAUAAAAUGAAAAUCAAUAUACACACUUAUUUCUGCUCACCUUUGUCUGGAAGUUGACUUUUGGAGGCUUAAAUGGAUAGUCAGGUGGAAAAUGUAUCUUAACAAAGAACACUCCACCUGCAUAAGGACUGUCUGCAGGACCCAUGAUUGUUGCCUGCCAUUGGAAGAGAUCUUCCCCAACAGGUCCAGCACUGCAUGAUGUUGGAGGAUCCCUCUGCAAAUCCAUUAAUUCCUUCUGAAUCCGUUUGCUAGCCAUAGCGUCUUGUGAUUUUCUAAAAUAUGUCAGAAUAGGGAAUAUAUCCAUAAGCAAACAGAUUGUCUUUAAGGAAAAAAAAAAAAAUCUCCAGGAACAGAAUUUUGCAGAAAACUAAAAAGCAAGUGGACAGCUGAUGAAAAUAUAAGCCAAAACUUAACCACAAGGAAAUCCAAGAGAUGAGUUAAUUGAACACACCUUAACCUAUGCAAUAUCUUGCACAUAUUACACAAACAACAACAGACAGCAGACAAUUUAUGUUAGGCGUUUCCAAGAUAUAAAAGCAAGCAGUUCAUUUUUCAACUCGCCAUGUAUUAGAUAUGAGAGCUUUAUGAUAUACUUGCUAGAAGAAUCCUGGAAGUCAAAGAUAAGUAAUAUUGUUAAGUUUCCUCAAGUCAAAAGAUACACACAUAUUGAUGGUUAGGCCUUCUUCUGCCUAACUAAUGGUAUUUGCGACACAUAGAACACGACAGCAGGCAUUUCGAGUACCAUUAUACGCCAACACGCAAACAUCCAGGCCAUGCACAAACAAAAGAAAUACUACUGAUACAAAGAUUUAUGUCAAUGGCCAAUCGGAAAAAGCUCUUUUGUUGCAUGCCCAAGAUUUCUCAGAUGUCAAUGCGUCGGCUUUACAAGGUCACCAAUCACUAAACGCGCACAUCGACCAGAAACAUAUGUGGAUAGAAUAUGCUGAUUUUUAAGAACAAGGGAAUAACUAAUUUUGUCUACCCUUGGAUCACCUCUCUCUAUUCUGAUGUCAAAAGUUUCAGUAUUGGAUACAGAGGCUCAACAUGGCCCGUAACCUAUCUGGCCAUGAUGGUUCUACAAUUAUAUUCUGACCUGUUGGAAGAUUGUUAUGUAGUACUCCAGUUUAUAACAAAUCCGAUGGCGAGCUAGAAUCAUAGCUGCAGGCAAGCAACCAAUGCAUCAACUAGCUACCAAGGGAAAAAAGAGUCUGCUCACCAAGCAUGUUCCUAUACAUCAAAGUCAAGAACUCCACCCAGGUCCCAGGAAUACUAGAGCCACAUAUUUACCAGAAUAGGCCAUAUAACAAAAAUCUUUACAUCCGGGCAUCAUUCUUGAGCAAGAAAACCAAAACAUAAAAAAUGAAUAGGCGAUGUAACAAAAAACCGAUCUUUCGUUCUGAAAACUAAGUAAAACAAAGAAUAAACUUCAUAAAUGAGCAGGAAAUCAAAAAGCCCUUGUUCUCGAUGUAAAAGUCAACGAAAUCUUUCGCUCAUAUCCGUUUGAACCCGUGGAACACAGGGUUGGUAAGACGAUGAGCUACCACGAAACAGAUCAACGAGAUCUAACUGUUACCCAUGCGAAAAGCGGCGCAGAUACGGCAGGGAUCCAUCUCUGAGAUAGUUUGCCCAUCUAAACAAGAAAAUUCUUCGAAACAGGGGGGGAAAACAGGAAAAGCUCUACGGAAGAACAAAAUAACGUCUAUAGACCAUUAAAUUGUUCCGAUUCGAGAAGAAUUAAGCAGCGACCGUGAAGAAAAAAAGGAGGCGACCUGCUUACAGAUCGGAAGAGUUGGAUCGAUGCGAGCUCCACCGCCGGCUUUGACAAGGAACGAAAGAGGGAGAGAGAGAAGCGUGAAUAGGCGACGGCGGUAUAUGGAGAGCAGACGUCGUAUCAGGUCACCUCCCGGUCACCGUUAAGCACAAGAGAACCGUUAUUAUGUAUUAUACGGAUAAUAUCGGGUAAAUCUUAACGGUCAUUUAUGUUUUGUAACGGUAAAUGUGCGUUGGCAGUGACGGUAAUUGCCAAAUGUGAUGGUAUUUUUAUCUGGAUAACGUUGACAUGUGCAUGACACGAAUUGGAAUUUAACCGGCGAUUUUAAUCGUAGCUGCAUUCUUACGUCCUUCUGCGCUCGCGCGUACCUGCGUCACCUACCCGUUCCGCGAUUGGAAGGUUGCGUGGGACCUUAGCGAUAAGGUCGGUCAACGGCCAAUAUAUAUAUAUAUAUCGGUACUCGUUCCCAUGACACCCGCAUGCCGAUUCUCUUGUAAACGGCGGGUCCCACACGAGCAAUCUCCCGAUGAAGCACUCAGGAGAGAUGGUGAGGCGAGAAAGAAGUACAAUUGCUCCAUCACACGUAUCACUAAGGUGUACAGGAAGUCUCAAGGCAUACGAGUACAGAAUACAAGGCACCAGUGCAUGAGCGUACCUAUACAUGCAUUGCAGAGACAAAACUUGAUUCCUGUCAUUGUCCACUCAAUUCAUCAGCGACAGUAAACUUCUUUGGCUUUCGACCGAACCAACGAAACAAAGUAGGGUAUAUAUACUUGGAGUUGGUUUAUGCUUAUGCCCACAGAGGAAGUUCCAUUUCUUGCCGCAACAGGGAACAUUUUGCUUACGUUGUGCACCAAAAAACAAUGCCAUCGGCAUGUAGUCCCCUCGCCGGAGUCGUCUCCGGCACCGAGGCUCAACAAAACAUUCUCUUCUGAAUCAACAAAAAAGCAAGCUAAUCAUCAGAGAACAAAAUUUUAGACGGAUAUUUUGAGUUUAAGUUGGAAAAUUAGCUCUCACAUUUCAUCUCAAGUAUAAGAGGAUGAUAUGGGAAAAACUUAGCUAAUCAUCGAAGAGUAGUGUCGAUGACAUGCAUCAAAUUUAUGGAUGAUACCACCAUACAUAUUGAACUAUUAUCACAAAUAAAUUGGUUGAUAAAAAUGUGCAGCUCCAUAUAACCAAUUGAACUCAAGUCAGGCACUGAUAAUUUGAUUAAAAUCUUAAAAAUUUUGUGAGUUGACUGUGACUGUGUUUAACAGGGACCUAAAAUGAGAAAGUUUUAUAUGAUUUGCACUUUAAGCGAAAUAAAAUAUAUAACAAGAUUUUACCUCAAGUUUCAAGUCCUGCAAUGCAUCUAACGACUCGGCAAAUUCCAGUUGCUUCAUGACCGUGGCAUGCAAUACCUGAAACAGAUAUAAUAUUAGAGAUGCACUGACAAAACCAGGAAUCAUAAACCCCUACACAGAGCAGCAAGGUAAUGAGUGCCAAAUGCUACAACUUUGACAUGGCUUGAAACUAACAAGGUUCCUAAACUUUAAAAGUUCAAGCUGAAUAUAUUAGAUCCAAAUAAGAAGCCUAAUAGACUCUCGUAGUUAAUGCUAUACAACAUAAUAGACUGUCAAGGAUGCCAAAUAGGAGAGAGAUACGAAAGAUAAAAAUCUCUUCCUAGAAAGGAAUACCAAGUGAAUAAUGAACCCAACAUCUAAGCAUGUCUGCCCACAACUAGUUAGCUCUUCAGAAAAGAUCCUUCGGUGACAGAAAUUCUCUUUCAAAUGUUUGCCAUUGAUACUUUUAUGAAACAGCAAUUCCAAUAAAGCAUAGACAAAGACAAAGGAUCUGAGAGAAUUAAGGAUAUGCGAAUUCACAAAAGGUAGUUUUCCUGUACAUGAAAUAAUUUGAUCCUUAUUUAUCAUAUAGCAGAAAAUGUCAUUAAAAUAUAUAACAAGUGCUAAAAUCAAUUGGACAGAAGCCCUAAUUUAUUCAUUGAGAAAAAAACUUUUGAUAGCAAGUUGUUCCAAGCAUAGAUACAAAGAAAAAGGGAGAAGAUUAUAUAUACAACAAAGACAUGAUUCCUAUCUUGAAUAUACUAAUAUAACAGUAUUAUGGAGGUAGAUAGCAGGAUGAUAUAAACUUACCCUUUUGGUCUUUUCUAGAUCAAACUCAACAUGCUUUAUUCGAUCCCAUGAUUCAAGUAGCAUAUGCUCUUUCUCCGAAGGAAUCUCAGCAGGCUUCUUGGUGAGCUCAUCAAACAUCAUUUCUAGCCUUUUAAUCCGCUCCAAACAAGGACCCAAAUGAUCUUCAAGGUUUUUCACUGUUGAACUGUGCUGGACAGCCAAAUUCUGAGCGUCUGAAGUACGGAUGUUGCUCAAUUUUCUCUUUCUAAAACCAUCAACGUGAAAGAAUAAUAGAAUUUUGACUAAGGAAGCUAUUAAUACUCUUGAAAACAACUGAAAAAUCCCUUCUCCUGUAUCCUCCUUGGUGACAGGGUGACUUGCCAUGCUCAAACUAUCUGAGAACAACAAAUACAAAUCAAGACUUUUGAAGACUAAGAGAUGAGAAUUUGUUGCCUAAACAAAAGGAAGAUUCUCUAUUGGAACAACCCAGCUUGCAAUACCAUGUUGAUUCGAUGUUGAAAAGCCAUACGAUCUCUGUUCCUCGUAUUUUAUAUCUUUUGUCUUUUCAUAAGAUUGUUCUCCUCUUCUAACACAAUCCAUAGCCUUGUCGACCACAACAAAGUGUUCAUCACAACUAUAGUAAGCUGUUGAAUCUCUUGCUCUGAUCUGCAUUUAUCAUCAAGAAACAAUGGCAUGGAGCAGUUGUGAUAUAUCCCAAGGGGAACAAAAAUCAUCAUCAAAUAAACUAAUAUUAUCUACCCUAUCUUUUUAAGAUAGUGAUUAACAUGCAUUCACAAGAACACCAUAGUUGUGAUGACCACUUUCUCAUCAUUCUCACUAAAAGAAUUAAUUAGGAUAUAAAACAAUUAGACGCAAACAAGGAUACAAGAAAAUGAAAAAGAAACCAUAAAUGACCUUUUUAGCAAAUUUGAAAGACAGAAAUUGACAGUUUAGAGAGUGAUUUACUAAUGUAAGCACCUCCAGAAUUUAGUUGUUUUUUUUCAAAGGUUAUUGUGAAAAGAAGAUAUUAGCAUAUAAAAUUAGCAUAUAUUGUAUGGAAGAUGGUUUGUGCAUAAACAAACCCUCUCCUCUUUUUCUUUUUGGUCCCGUUUCCAUAUUCAAAUUACAAGGGUAGAAUCCUUAAUUUUAAAGGAUUUAUCAGGAAAUUCUUUCAAUUUCUGAGCAAUGGGAAAAAAUUCAUUCUGAAAUAUCUCUAGUAUCAUGUAUCAUACAUAGCAUAAUAGAAAAGAAAAGAUGGCAUUAGGUAAUUAUUUGUUGAAAGGAUAAAACAUUUUGCUCAUGCUGCCCCUUUCAGAUCACUUAUUUCAGUUAGCUUUUCAAAUGAACACUACAUCAAGGUUGUUGACGAUAGAUUUUACAGAACCAUUAGAAUUUUCACUGGAAAAUUGAGAACUGCACUAUAACAAAAUAAAACACAACAUGAGGUCUUCAAAACCAGGAGAGUGAAGAAAUCUCACUUCUUCACGUACUGGAGCUAAACGGCUAUGCUCAACAGGUUUGAAAACAAGAUCAUCAACAUCUGAUCCAGAUUCAAGUGUCCAUGUAUCGCUACUUCUUCCCUGACAAUAACACAGACUCAAAUAUUUUACAGGAAGAUCAUUGCAUAAUGUAACUGCAAAAAGAUAGGAAUAAAAAAGAUAGAACAGAUGAAAAAAACACUUACCUUCAAAAAAUAUGACCCUACAAAAGCUUCAUCUCCACCUGACAUUCGUCUAGUAUGCCUUAGUGAAUCUGCUUCAGCAUUAUAUUCAAGCUAAAAUUUGAAAGAUAUUGGUAAGAACUUUUCCCCUGUUUUUCUUGUUUGAUAGACGUAAAAUAAAAAAAAGCAAAUCCCUUCUGGUAUCAAGGUAUUCAUCCAAACAGGACAUUAUCACAUAAAGGAGGAUAUAUCUUUUAGAAUUGCUAAUUCAAGUUCGAUUACAAAACAGGUGACACUUCGAGCAUGAAAUCCUGAAAUGUUCAAGACAAAUGGUUUCAUGCUUAAAGAAGACUAAGCGGAAAACCCAGUUUGGCUAAUUGUAUUCCUUGAACAAAAGGAAGCAUCAAUUCAUGGGACACAAUGAAUGGAAUAAGAAAACUAUCACUCAAUCAGUUCAUCCUCGUGGGAUCAAAACUUUCAAAUAGAAUAGUUGGUUGCUCUAUUAGUUGAUCAAACCUAACCUAGUGGAAUGACGGUGAACAAAUGGGAAUGUAAAUGCUUACUUCAGUUAAGUGAACGAAUUGUACCUUCAUAAUGUUAGGAUCAUUCCAUGGUCCUUUAUUAGACUUCAAACACCCGCCUUCAACAGAGCAUGUACAUGUACCACCCAAAAAAUCUGGAAGUUGGCUGAAAUGUGACAAACAUAUAUAAGUUACUAAACCAUAAAAAAAGAACCACCAUCAAAAUCGACAUCAAUAUCAAUAUCAAUAUCAAUAUCAAGAGAGUAUAAUAUGCCCUUAACCUUGAGUCAAUGAUUUCAAGUAAUGCACUCUGAUAUUUUGUUCCCAAUACCUGCAUGAUAAAAUAUUUAUUCAUGUAUAUUGUGGUCCAAAUACCGGCAAAACAAAUCCCUUUGCAUGUCAGGACACUUACAUGUAUCUUUGCUGUUGUUUUUGGGUCAAGAAAACCCUUUACAGUGUUCCAGAGAAGCCUAAAGCCAUGACCAGCAUUGACAAUAAACAUCUGAUGUAGAGUCUGCAUUUUAACAAGUGGGGUAUCUCUAUCUUAAUACAAAUGAAUAAAAAUAAUGCAAUGUUAUUAGGAUAAAGUCAAGUACCUCAGGGUAGUAAUCUCCAUCAAUUUUUUGCAUUUUAAGCAAGAGGUCUCUUGCUGUUUUGCCGAAAUUCUUCAAACCCUGCACCAAAGAGAACGCAUACUGAUUCAGAGAAAUCAACCCGAACGGCUUCUCACUUCCAGCACCUUGAACAUCUCAGUAUUUUAUAUAAACAACAAUAUAUCUUCAUCACAGUCUGCUUAAACAAGUCAAAUCUGGAAAGGAACCACAUACCACCCCAUGCACAUCCAAAAUAGUCGUGGUUGAGUCAAUGUGCCUUUUUGCUGCAAUCGAACAAGCCGGAAACUUUUCAUGUAGAGCUUUCUCAAACUCCUGGACAUGAAAUUUUAUGUACCGUUCUACUGUAGUGAUGUGCAUAAGCUUAUUCGGCUCUACUUUCCCAAGCCUCUCAAUGUAAACAGGUCUUCCCUCUUUAUCAACUCCAUGGUAGCCCUGAGGAUAAUGCUGUAAAACUUCUUCCAGCUCCUCAAAGUUAAAAUCCUUGCAUCCAGUAGUGUUGGGCAUUGUAUAUGUCAGCAUUCACUGAUAUAAUUAUCAUCUAGCUUAACAGAACACGUGACCUUCUAGAUAAUAAUUCUUAACAUAAUUGAAAAAUAUAAUAGAAUUCCAAAAAGACAACUGAAGGAAUAAAAUAUGGGUAUCUGAACCAAGAACAGUCUGCAAUAAAAGUUAAACGACAAAAGGAAAAUGGAGGUUAUUCAUAUGUGCAGGAUCCAUAAGGGAAAAACAAGAAAAGUAGAACAUUACAAACAAUAGUUUCAUCAGCUAGUAUGGUUGCAAGGUUCAAAAUGCUGACACGAUUGUCAUCAAUUUGGCUUCCAACUUGUGCCCAUAAGAAAAGCAUUUCUAUGUGGGUUUUAUAGUACUAUAACUUUUGCAACCUAAAGGAUGUUUUCCAAGAUCUGCAGAGUAUCAUAAUAUAUUCUUCAAUAAUUUCAAAAUCAUCUAAACUCAUAUAUCUAGUUCCAAGAGUAGAAGAUCAAUGUCUAUAUGAGCGCUAAUUUGGCAGUAACUUUUGCGUAAGCAAAAGGAGAUAAUUCAAAUUACAUGUUAAAAGGUAAAAUUGAUGAAUGAAAAUUCCCUAAAAAGGAACUUCAAUUAAUCUAUACAAAAAAAAAGUUCAAAUAAUCAGUGUUAUGACCCAACUGAUUGGAAAAAAUGAUCAUUCAAGUGCAUGAAAAAUGCAUGCGAAUGAGAAAGUAAUGAGCAGUUUCAUUUCACGAUAAAAAACAGCCUGGAAUAAUCUAAUUCAAACAUGAAUUCCUCUUGUUUUUCUUUUAUGUUAAAAUUAUCUCAAUGCAAUUUUGUUGGAUCUCAACUAGUCUUGUGGCACUAAAAUCUCUCAGAGUCAUUGCAAGGCAAGACACUCUUGGCACAAUAACAGGGAAGAACAACAUGACCCACACUAAUAUGGGGUAUGUGUGCGGUUAAGUUAUACUGUGUUUACUCCUGCAAGCAUAAACUCUGGUCACCCAGGUUGUGAAGAAGCAACCUUACCCAGGUCACCCAGUACACAAGUGGCAAAAUAUGAACCUCAAAAUAGCAUCUGAACUGAACCUAUUUAAAUAUGACAAACUUUUUUUCUUUUGAAAAAUCAGCAGCGAAUAGAUAUCUGAUAUGACUAUCUUUAGUUGCACAUACGAUAUCUAACUAGCUUAUUAUGGCAACAUACCUCCAAAAUUGUGUCUGUUCCAAAUUCUUUUCUCCAAUGAAGCAUAUCAGCCCACAUUUGAACUGCUUUCUCAUGCUCAAAUUUUCUCGCUUUCAAAAAUCUGCAUCAUGUAAGUUUGUCGGUAAGCAAUCAGGAAAACCAAAUACUGAAAAAGCAAGUUACCUAGAAAAACGAGCCAUACAGAGUUACAUUCUGGAAGCGCAUAUAUUCUUCAAUAAAAUGCAUCGACCCAAUUGGAUCAAAAAUGCUUGCAGUUGGCUUAAUACAGUUUUAAGUUAAAUCCAACUAAUUAAAGAUAUUCAUAGCAUGCUCAAGUACAGAUUGUGACAGUUCAGGCAGCUAAUAAGCCCAACAAAAAGUUUUUACAAAAGCACAAAUACUAUAACCAAAAUCACAAUUUCUGAUGGUGAAAAACAACCUGAGCAUCAUAUGAUAGUCAUCGUGUUUAUCAGGCAAUAAGUCCCUGGAAAUUAGCUCCUUACGGAAUGCAUAGACUGCCCGUUCCUCUUCCACAUCCCUGACAUCCUCAAUUGACACUGAAGAAGUCCUAUGGACACUUCUCCUCUUCCCUCGUUUCCUGAGAGAGUGGGUGAAUCGUGAAGAAGCAUUUAAUGCCUUUUUCUUUAGAGACCCGAUGGUCAAUCUUCUUCUUUCAUCUUCCGAACUCUCCACAUCUGAUCUCUUUCCUUUUCUCUCCUCCCAAGCGUGCAGCCCUUCAAGACCUUCAACAUGACAAACAGCAAUAAGGUGGGUCUCUAGCAGCAUUUCAUAAUCCGAAGAAACACAGAGACGUGAAUUAGAACAGCCGUACCAGUCAUUUUCGGGCAGCAGAGGCGGGACUCUGGUUGACCUUACCCUUAUGAAGAGAUGGUCGUGGCGUAAAUUAUGCAAAUAGAGAUCUUUAUAGAUCACCAGGAGCCUACGCCUCCAUCUAGUUAGGAUCAGAGACAAAACAACACAGGAGAGAAUUAAGUGUCAUUACCGAAAGUCUCUGCACAUAUUAGCCAAGACAAAAUUUAUGCAACUUUUGCAGGAGCUAUUACCAAAACAAAAACAAUAAAGAAGAGAAAACAAUUACUAUUGUUGCCGACAAACUUGCAAUUCAUCAGAACUAUUGCAACUCUCAUCACCCCCUACUCGUUUCUAAUUGAGCGGAUGAAAUCAUGAAACUGUGGACUGAUUCAUCCUGUAGCUUUAAAACUAAGUAACUUGGAAAAAACAGAAGAAAAUGCAAGUUGAGGUAGGAGAACCUAAUCGCCUCGCCAAGUCCAUCAACAAAUCAACAACUUUAAGACGCCAUUAGUAAAGUAAGGAAAAACAGUACUUCUUUAAAGACAGCUAAAAAGAAAGAGACGACAGGUUAACGAUCUUCACUUGUUCACAUUCACAGAGUACCUACUCUCAAGAAGAAGUCAUCGAUUCCACAUCAAAUUCUCCUUCGGAAAGAGCAAUCAAGAAACCGUCAGAGAAUUCCCUCAUUCGAUGCAAAUCACGCAUCCCAAGUCCAGAGAAGAUUGUGGAGAGAGAGAAGUACCCUCUUGCGGCGAGGAGAGGGCGAUCCUUCGUCGCCGCCGAUCUCCAAAUCUAGAUCAGUAAGACAGAUCACAAGAUUCCCCACACCGAUGGAAUCGAAUAGGAAACCGGGAAUCCUCACUCCCAAUGGAACCUGUUCUUCUUGCAAUUGGGAUCGGGACCGAAACACAAAGGCGGGUUUUAACGGCGAUAAGAAUCCACCAAGAAGGAAAACUAAAACCCAAAUACACGAAAUGAAUCGGAAGAUCCGCGGACUCCGCUCGCGCUCUCUCUCGUGGUGGUGGUAAGAGGAUGGAGUCAAUGCGAAGCGUGCAAAAGGAUCGCUUUCGGCUGUAUCUCGAGGUGGACUCCGGUGAAAAGAACAGAUCGGCGAUUCUUGGAAAAGACUACGGCGCGAGAUUCUUUUUCCUUUCCUUUUCUUCCAAUUGCUUUGGCGACUUUUAAGGCACAGCGCCGCGUUUGACUUGGCUCGAGAAAUGGAACGAAUAAGCGACUCUUGCGUUCAAUAACAUUAAUAUAAUAUUUCUAAUUAAUAUUAUUAAGUGAUCGGAACUUUAUCUAUUGAUAUAUACAAAUAAAUAUUUAGAGAUAUUUUUUACCGGUAUAUGUAAUAUUAUUUUUCUAUCGGCGUGCGACGAGGAAACGGGGACUUGCUUCUCUCAUCGGCGUGGGACGAGGAAACGGGACCCAGGCGCGCGUGCUGUGGCCCCUGGUCGAAGAGACGUCGGCACGCUUUCCCUCCCGUUGGAAUGCGGAUAGGCUGUCUCGCCCAAGGCAGGAUUCCGGAGGAAGAAUCCCACCGCACUGGGAGCGCGGAGCAACGCAGCAUUCGCAGCGUCGGGAUGCGUAGAUCUUCCCGUACGCUGUUCGCACGCUUCCUUGCGUUCCGUUCGUCAGCCAAGGCGCGCUUUUUAACGACCACCAACACUCGAAUGCCAUCACCACUCACGCGCCCUUGGCCUGCUCCCACUCGCCGAUUAAAUCGUCACCCGAUCUACGAAGCCUCGUUGCCGCCACCGUGAAAUUAUUCACCAAUUCGUUUCGAGACCUACCCGGUCCCCGGGACUUACCAUACGCGGGCGCCACCUGGGGGGCCCUCGC
RNAcentral lists this long non-coding RNA (56502 nucleotides) under Musa acuminata (dwarf banana). RNAcentral describes it as "long non-coding RNA (MACU_LNC001204)". Lineage: Eukaryota; Viridiplantae; Streptophyta; Magnoliopsida; Zingiberales; Musaceae. The record is from RNAcentral.